Molecule: long non-coding RNA, 49535 nt
Filed under: Arabidopsis lyrata
Lineage: Eukaryota; Viridiplantae; Streptophyta; Magnoliopsida; Brassicales; Brassicaceae
Description: long non-coding RNA (ALYR_LNC001922)
Source: RNAcentral
GAAGAAUAGGAAGAACCAUGAUGAGAGAAAGAAGAUGUAUUAGAUUGAUAAGAGUUAGGGUUACAAAUGGAGGCACACUUUAGUACAUAUAGAGAACAAACUCUAGGUCUAAGGGGGUGUGUACAAAGACAAUCAUACCCUCUCUUAGCCUUGUAACCCGAGUAACCCAAGUAACCUGUAAUCCGAGUAACCCAAGUAACCUGUAACCCGAGUAACCCAAGUAACCUACAUUUAACCCUUAACUAUGACUUAGUUAGUGUUAAAUGUCUUCUUGAUUAACACUCCCCCUCAAGUUUAUAUCACAAUGCCCAAUUGUGUAUAAACUUGACACUUGUAUGAAUAACCUCAUUAAAAACCUAAGCUUGGAAAACCACGUGGGACAAAACCAAGCUUAGGGAAAAAGAGUCUUAUCCCUACAAGUUGGAGAAUAUUUCUCAAGGAUGUGUGAGGUCUACAAGACCAAGUUUGCCAUGGAUAAAUUGACAAACUUGGUUACUUGCUGCCUUGGUGAAGAUAUCGGCCAAUUGGUCCUAAACUCUUAGUGUAGCAAGGAAGGAUUGUACCGUCUUCGAUCUUCUCUCUUGUCUUGUGGCAGUCCGUCUCUAUGUGCUUGGUCCUCUCGUGGAACACGGGGUUAGUAGCAAUAUGGAUGGCUGCUUGGUUGUCUCAAUGGAAGGUAAUUGGCGUCUUUUGCUCGAUCCCAAAGUCCUUUAGAAGAGCCUUCAGCCAUGUCAACUCGUUUGUGAGCUUCUUCAUAGCCCUAUACUCCGCUUCAGCACUCGAACAUGACACCACCUUCUGUUUCUUUGUCUUCCAAGUUACAAGAUUGCCACCAAUGAAAGUGCAAAAGCCGGUUGUGGACUGCCUUGUGUUGCGAUCUCCAUUGUAGUCUGCAUCACAGUACCCAACAAUUUCCGUGCUAAAGUUUCUUCCCAUCCAAAUGCCUUUGCCGGGACUCCCUUUGAUAUAUCUCAAAAUUCUCUCCACCAUGCUCCAAUGGUACACCGUAGGGACUUGCAUAUGUUGAGCCACCUGAUUCACGGCAAAAGAGAGAUCAAGCCGAGUAUAUGUCAAAUAAAUGAGCUUACCAACAAGUCUUCGAUACUGUUCCGGGCAAUGAUAUGGAGUAUCAUCCUUCUCCCCCUUUCGAUUGACCUUGUAUCCUUGCUCUAGUGGUGUAUCCACCGGUUUAGCUCCAAGUUUCCCUGUAAGCUUUAGAAGAUCGAGUGCAUAUUUCCUUUGUGAGAGAAACAGUUCCUCCUUGGAUCUACACACUUCAAUCCCUAAGAAAUACUUCAACACACCUAAAUCUUUAAUAUCAAAGGCUGAGUGUAAAGAAGACUUAAUGGCUUGAAUACCCUCUUUGUUACUGCCCGAGAUAAUCAAGUCAUCAACAUAGACCAAUACCACUACUAUGCCUUGAUUAUCUUGCUUUGUGAACAAAGUGUGGUCCGAAUGUGACCUCUUGAAGCCAUUUGCCAAUAGAGUGGUGCUUAGCUUGUGAUACCAAGCUCUUGGAGACUGUUUGAGACCAUAGAUUGCUUUCUAAAGCCUUAAGACCUUUCUCGUAGCCACUAUGUCUUCUAAACCCGGAGGAGGUGACAUGUAGACUUCUUCUUCUAACUCCCCCUGAAGGAAAGCAUUCUUGACAUCCAUUUGCCACAACUCCCAAUCCAAAUUAACCGCUAAAGAUAGAACCACCUUUACCGUGUGUUGUUUAGCUACCGGAGCAAACGUUUCCCUAUAGUCAUCACCAUAAGUUUGCGUGAACCCUCUUGCAACCAGCCUAGCCUUAUAUCUCUCAAUUUCACCAUCACUCUUGUACUUAAUUGUGAAUACCCAUUUUGAGCUAACACACUUCUUCCCUUUUGGUAGUUCUUCUUCAUCCCAAGUCUUGUUUCUUAUCAUAGCUUGUACUUCAUCAUCUACAACAUUAGUCCACUUCUCACUUUCCUUAGCUUCCUCAUAGUUUUGUGGGAUAGAUUCUUCAUUUAACUUGCUCACAAAAGCUUGAUGAUCUUUAGGUAAGAGGGCAAUCGAACACGUUGCUUGUAUUGGAUGAGCCACGGCUUGAGCAUUGUAGUAGGGGAUUCUAGCUUUCUUCCAUUCAGAAGGAGAUUUCUUCUCUCUUGUACUCUUCCUUGGAUUUUCCCGUGUGUAGACCGGAUCUUGUGUGACUUGUGGAGCUUGAUAAGUCCCAUCUUCGCUCGAAGACUCAAUAACUUCUCCUUCACUAGACUGACCCUUCUCUACCACUCCUUCACUAGACUCCUCUCUUCUACCACUGUCUUGGCGAUUAUCCAACAGAUUCUGAGAUGCAUCGUUAUCAUUCUCUCUGACUUCAUUCUCAUCCACAUUUGGUGUUGGUGAAGCUUCCUUAUCUGCCUGAGGAGAACUCGCAUUUCCCAAAUGCUCCAGAAUGUGACGGAGACUUGCAGCUCGAUCAAAGGUAGAAUUAGGUAGAUCUUUAAUACUCUCCCAACUCUUUUCCCCAAAGUAUGCCUUGUCUUCCAUAAACUUGACAUCCCUUGACAGGUAAUACCGAUUGGUGACUGGAUCGAAGCACUUGUAACCUUUCUGAGUUGUUGAGUACCCAAUGAAAACACACUUAUUACUCUUGGGUUCCAGCUUGUUUCUCAAGUCACCUGGGACAAACACAAAACAAAGACUUCCAAAGACCCUCAAAUGAUCAAUGUUAGGGUUAGUUUUGUUUAAAAUCUGAAAUGGAGAUUUAUCAUCAAGGAUACGUGUCGGUAUUCGAUUGAUGAGAUAACAUGCUGUCAUCACCGCAUCUCCCCAAAACCGCUUUGGCAUAUGCUUCUGAAAUAACAUAGCUCUUGCCACCUCCAUUAAAUGCCUAUUCUUCCUCUCGGCAACUCCAUUUUGUUGUGGAUUGUAUGGACAGCUCGUUUGGUGAAGGAUUCCGCAUUUCUCCAAGUGUUCUUUGAGCUUGUUGCUUGUAUAUUCACCUCCAUUAUCUGUUCUAAGAAUUUUAAUCUUUGCAUCAAAGUGAUUAGUCACAUAGUUUUGAAAGUUUAUAAACGCAUCAUAAACUCUAUCCUUAGAUGGCAUCAAAGUUACCCAUGUAUACUUAGAUUUCUCAUCUAUAAAUGUGACAAAGUACUUAUGAUUGUCUCUAGAUGCACAAGGUGAAGACCAAACAUCAGAAUGCACAAGGUCAAAACAUUUUUCAUAAAUCGCACUAGACUUAGGAAAAACAGCUUUGCAAUGUUUGCCUAAUAUGCAUGCUUCACAAUUUGCGCAAUCAUAAGAAAAACCAGGCAUUAAUAAACUUAAAGCUCGAGAAUGUGGAUGGCCUAGUCUCUCAUGCCACAAUACAACCGAUGUUUUAACAGAGUUUGCAAAGAUAGAAGAAACAUUAUUCUUAGAAACAGAAUUUAAAGAGAUGUCUUGAAACACAUAUAAGUCAUCCUUGGUGCUUCCUUGCCCAAACACUUUUCCACUCUCAAUAUCCUGCAACUUCACGUCAUUAGGACUAAAAAUAGCUAAACAAUUCAAGUCCUUAAUCGUUUUCUUAACAGAGAGAAGAUUUGAAGUGAACUUAGGCAUAUAGAAAGCACUAGACUUCUUAUUGAACAAAUCUAUGCAACCUAUGCCUUCUAUUGGAACAUUAUGUCCAUUUGCAACUUUAACAUUACCUAAGGCCGGUUUAAUGUUCUCUAACAACCUAGGGUUACUAAUCAUAUGGUGAGAAGCCCCUGAAUCUAAUACUAAUGAAUCUUUAUCACGAGUAUUAGAAGUUAAGAGAGAAAUACCGCCAGUGUGUAAUUUAGAUGCAAUGGAUUGGAGGAGGGACUCGAGGUCAGCCUUGUUCAUGACAAUAGUCUCCUGAGCUUGUGAGGUAGAUGCGCCACUCUUGCCUUGUGUAAUGGCCUGCAUCGCUUUCUCUUGCCUGUACUGAACCAUAGCUCUUUCUUCAUUCUGUGACCCACCAUCACUUCCAUUAACCGCAUUCGCCUUUGGCUUGAAGUUCUUGAAUUUUUCCGGUUUUAAAUGGGGAUGAAGAAGCCAGCAUUUAUCCUUCAAGUGACUUUUUUUCUUACAAUGAUCGCAAACCAACAGUUUCUUGUCACCUUGUUUCACUGUCCCAACUUUGUUUGCCGUAGGUAGGUUCUCCUCUUUGUUGCCAAAAAGACCUUGAGGACCAUACUCCCUUUGUAUCUUUGAACAUACUUGCUCCAAGGUUGGUACUUUGUCAUCUCUCAAGAUAUGUUGAAUCACAUCCUUGUAUGUCGAGUUCAGCGUCAUCAUUGUUGGUGUCGGAUCCCGCACCAGAAGUACGAGACCAACCAAAGAUUACCACGUGGUCAAGAUAAUGGCCCUUAAAAGAUGAAGCCCAUUGGACCCAUGAGCCGAAGGAACGGUCGAAGUGGUUGUCACCACUUCGAGAAUCCGAAGUGACUGCAUUGUGACAUGAGUUCGAUGUAGAAGACACGGGUAAGUCGGUUCAAGGAUGCUUGGGCCAAAAGGCGAAGCCCAUGAAGAUCAGAGUCAACUCAAAUUCAAACGUUGAGCAUUAAAGCCGAAGAUCAAAACGGACACAUUUAAGAGAGAAUAAUUACACUUAAUUAGCCACUUUAAAUGUCGUUUCUCUAUGUAUAAAUAUAAAGGCCAAUGGCUAUGUAAUGGGGAUCUUCCUCUCAAGAAAGAAAUACUAUAGCAAUUUUCGUAGCAAUUUAGAAGUUUUUACCUAUUCAUUUUUGUCCCUCAAGAAUAAUCUUUCCUACUUAAUAAAAUACUUGAGUGUGUGAAUCCGACAUCCACAUUUUGGCGCCGUCUGUGGGGAGAAUUAGGAUUCUUGAGUGGUCAGAUUUUUUCUUUACUACAUUUCCGAGAUAAGCAACAAUGUCCGGAGGAGACGCCGUUGAGACAUCAUUGGCCGAAACCCUCAAAGCUAUGCAGCAAACCAUGUCGGACAUAUCACAAAAGUUCUCGGAUGUGGAAAAGGCCGUCGAUACGUUGCAAACAUCCCAGGUAUCUCUUAGUCAAAACGUCAAUACUAUACAAACUCGUGUUCGCUCUUUAAGUGCAGGAAACCUUGCGGGAAUCCGAAGAGGGAUAUUCAACUCGCCAAGUUCCGCUGUACGAAAUGAAACCAGCGGACAAACAACUCCCGGUGCUACUAAUAAUGUAGCUCAGACAUUGGAAGAAGAGACACAGCUCGGGGAUGAAGAACAACUUGCAGCUCAGUACGAGCAGGAAAACCUCGACCAGUUCGAGACCAUGAGGAAGGUUAGCCAGGAGUUAAAAGAAAUGAAAUCAAAAUUUCAUCAAGCUACAAGUUCGGAGCCAGACAUCAAUCGAGUCAUUGAAGAAGCUAGGCGAACACCUUUCAUCUCGCGAAUUGCAAGUUUGAGGAUCAAAGAUUCCCGGAAACUCAAGUUGGACCCUUACAGCGGAUUGGAGGAUCCAAAAAGCUAUCUCGCAGCUUUUCUGAUCGCUGCUGGAAGAGUCGAAUUGGAUGAAGCUGAUGAGGACGCAGGCUACUGCAAGCUUUUUUCGGAGAAUCUAUGUGGCCAAGCUCUAAUGUGGUUCACCCAAUUAGAGCCGGGUUCGAUCAGUAAUUUCGACGAACUAUCAGCCGUGUUCUUAAAGCAAUAUUCCAUCCAUCCUUAUGGAUAAAAGCGUUUCGGAUGCCGAUCUUUGGAACUUGUCGCAAGGGUCAAGUGAGUCACUUCGAGUUUUCAUCACCAAGUUCAAAGGAGUGCUGUCAAAACUCCCAAGAAUCUCAUAGCAAUCAGCUUUAUCUGCCCUACGAAAAGGAUUGCGACAUGAUUCAAGGUUUAAAGAAGACUUAAUACUUCAUAAACCAGACACAAUUCAGGAUGCACUCUUCCGCGCGAACAACUGGAUGGAGGUAGAGGACGAAAAAGAAAGUUUUGCCAAAAGGAACAAACAAGAAAAGCCGGCAAUCACCGUCCCUACCAAGAAGUUCGAGCCUAGGGAGAACAAAGGACCAAGGAAAUUUGGGUCGCAACCCUUCAACAGUACCGUCGGAAAGCAAUUCCAAGGGAAAGGAAGAUCAAACACUUGGGUCCGUGAUGAAAGUCUAUAUUGCGAUAUUCAUAAAGUAACCGGGCAUUUAACCAAGGAUUGCAGCGUUCUUAAAAAGCACCUCGCAGAGCUUUGGGCCAGUGGAGAUCUUUCCAAAUUCGAUAUAAAAGAUUUUGUGAAGGAAUACCACGAAGCGAAGGAAAACUCCAAAGAUCAAGAUUCCAAAAGACCAAGGUUAUCCAACGAGGAAGAACCAAUGAGUUCGAAGGGUAAGAUCAAUGUGAUUCUAGGAGGUUCCAAGUUUUGCGGAGAUUCGAUAAGUUCCAUCAAGAAACAUAGACGAAAUAUCCUACUCAAAGCAAGCUUAAGCGAGGAAAUCGAUUUUCAAGGUGCAUCGAUAUCAUUUAAUGAAGAAGAAACGCGGUACCUCGAAAGACCGCAUGAUGAUGCUCUAGUCAUUACCCUUGACGUUGCUAACUUCGAAGUAUCAAGGAUCCUUAUAGAUACAGGCAGUUCGGUCGACCUGAUCUUUUUAAGUACUUUAGAAAGAAUGGGAAUCAGCCGAGCAGACAUAGUGGGGCCUCCGUCUCCAUUAGUUACAUUCACAAGUGAAUCAGCCAUGUCUCUCGGGACAAUCAAGCUACCGGUCCUUGCCAAAAAAGUAUCGAAGAUCGUGGACUUCGUUGUCUUCGAUAAACCCGCAGCUUACAACAUCAUCCUUGGUACUCCCUGGAUCUAUCAAAUGAAAGCAGUCCCCUCUACGUAUCAUCAAUGUAUCAAAUUUCCAACAUCAAGAGGAGUGGAAACAAUUCGGGGAGAUCAAGAAGCUUCACGGACGUGUUAUCUGGCUAGCCACCGUAUGAAGAUUCAAUAGCAAUAAACGAAGCCCGCAAAAGAGGGACUAAGAACAAAAUUUCCUAGCGGGCAGAAGAAAGAUGAUGUAGUAAUCGAAGUGGUGUUGGAAGAAGACAAGCCGGACCGGAAAAUUCGAAUUGGGGCAACUUUGACUGGCCAAAUAAAAGAAGCUUUGAUCGAACUCUUAAGGAAAAACAAAAAAUCGUUUGCAUGGUCAGCAGCAGACAUGCCUGGCAUAAAUCCAAGUAUAAUUUGUCACGAGCUAAACGUAGAUCCAAGGUUCAAGCCGGUGAAACAAAAAAGAAGAAAGCUUGGAGUGGAGCGAGCAAAAAUAGUAAACGACGAAGUGGAUAAACUUUUGAAGAUAGGGUCCAUAAGAGAAGUGCAAUAUCCGGAAUGGGUGGCAAAUACUGUCGUUGUCAAAAAGAAGAAUGGAAAAGAUAGGGUUUGCAUCGAUUUCACAGACCUAAAUAAAGCAUGUCCCAAAGAUAGUUUCCCGCUCCCACAUAUAGAUCGCCUUGUAGAGUCCACCGCUGGGAACGAGCUGUUAACAUUCAUGGACGCCUUCUCGGGUUAUAAUCAAAUAAUGAUGAACCCCGAAGAUCAAGAAAAGACGUCAUUCACCACUGAUAGAGGUAUCUAUUGUUACAAGGUAAUGCCUUUUGGUUUGAAAAAUGCAGGAGCAACUUACCAACGGUUGGUUAACAAAAUGUUCCACAAUCACCUCGGGAAGACAAUGGAAGUCUACAUAGAUGAUAUGUUGGUUAAAUCGUUAAAGAAAGAAGAUCACGUUAAGCAUUUGGAGGAAUGUUUUGAUAUUCUCAAUAAAUAUCAAAUGAAGCUGAACCCGGCGAAGUGCACAUUUGGAGUCCCAUCUGGAGAAUUUCUUGGCUAUAUCGUGACAGAAAGAGGGAUUGAAGCCAAUCCAAAUCAAAUUAACGCCUUUCUAAACAUGCCGUCUCCAAGAAACUUCAAAGAAGUACAACGGUUGAUGGGGCGGAUUGCGGCUUUGAAUCGUUUUAUCUCGAGAUCAAUAGAUAAGUCGUUACCUUUCUACCAAAUUCUAAAAGGGAACAAAUGAUUCAUUUGGGAUGAGAAGUGUGAAGAAGCUUUUGGGCUGCUUAAGGCAUACUUAACCACUCCACCUAUCAUGUCCAAACCGGAAGUGGAUGAAAAACUUUAUUUAUACGUAUCGGUUUCAAACCACGCGGUUAGUGGAGUCUUGGUUCGGGAAGACCGUGGGGAGCAGAAACCAAUUUACUACGUGAGCAAGUCAAUGACGGAUCCAGAAACCAGAUAUACAAUGAUGGAAAAACUCGCACUCGCGGUGGUGAUAUCGGCUCGAAAGCUGCGCCCGUACUUUCAAUCCCAUCCGAUUGAGGUAUUAACCAACCAGCCACUCCGAACAAUACUUCAUAGUCCAAGUCAGUCCGGACGAUUGGCGAAAUGGGCGGUGGAAUUAAGCGAGUACGACAUAGAGUUCAAAAGCCGGAUCAGUAUGAAGGCUCAGGUCUUAGCAGAUUUCCUGACCGAACUACCAAUACCUGGAACGAUAGAACAACCGGAGAACCAAACUUGGAAAUUACACGUAGAUGGGUCUUCAACAAAACAAGGAUCCGAAGUGGGAAUCAAGUUGGAGUCUCCGACGUCAGAAAUUCUAGAACAAUCAUUCCGGUUGUUAUUCAAUGCCUCCAACAACGAGGCAGAAUACGAAGCCCUGAUUGCCGGACUUCGAUUAGCACAAGGAGUUGGAGCUAAGGAAAUAUUGGCUUAUUGCGAUUCGCAAUUAGUAGUUAACCAAUUUAAUGGAGACUAUGAAGCCAAAGAUUCAAGAAUGGAAGCGUACCUCGAAGUGGUGAAGGAUUUAUCUAAAAAUUUCUCGAAAUUUGAAUUAAUCCGCAUACCUCGAGGAGAGAAUACAACUGCGGACGCGCUUGCAGCAUUGGCAUCAACAUCAGAUCCUGAGUUAAAGAGAGUUAUUCCAGUGGAAUGUAUUUCGGAGCGAAGCAUUCAAGACAACAAAGAAACCCUCGUCGUUACAAGGUCUCGAGCAGCGGCACGCGACCGUGGCGAACCAGAGAUCGAACCGCCACCCAACAAACGGAGGAAGUCAAGAGGAUCAAAUAUAUCUAACAAGGAACCCGUUGUCUUAGCUGAAGAUGUGAGUUCAGAAACAGUAUUAGAAACCGAACCGUUAAUCGAGGAGGAUGCUCUCGAACCAAACGAACAUCCCGAGCCAGAGCCACGAGUAUUUCACAAGGUUGACCAAAUUCCGGCUAAAGACUGGGGGGCUGACUGGAGGGAGCCAAUAAAGCACUACAUCAUGACAGGUGAGCUCCCAAAGAAUAAAUGGCAUGCCAGGAAAAUGAAAGUCGUUAGCGCGAAAUUUUGUCUGUCAAAUAAUGCGUUAUAUAGACGAGGUGUCAGUGACCCUUACCUAUUAUGCAUUUUUGGGCCCGAAGUCGAAAUCGUCAUGAGCGAAGUGCAUGAAGGAUUAUGUGGGAGUCAUUCAUCAGGAAGAGCUAUGGCUUAUAAAGUUAAAAGAAUGGGGUAUUUUUGGCCCACUAUGAUCACAGAUUGUGUUAAGUUCGCCCAAAGAUGCAAGCGCUGCCAACUCCAUGCACCAUUGAUCCAUCAACCGUCGGAAUUAUUCUCCUCCAUUUCCGCCCCAUACCCGUUUAUGAGGUGGUCAAUGGACAUCAUUGGACCAUUACAUAAAUCAACUCGAGGUGUACAGUACCUUUUUGUCCUUACGGACUACUUUUCAAAAUGGAUUGAAGCUGAGGCAUAUGUUGGUAUCAAAGAUUCGGCGGUGAAGACCUUUAUUUGGAAAAACAUUAUAUGUCGACAUGGAGUUCCAUACGAAAUAGUCACUGAUAAUGGACCACAAUUCAUUUCACACGAGUUUGAUGCCUUUUGUGCGGACUGGGGAAUCAAAGUUAGUUAUUCUACUCCACGAUAUCCGCAAGGAAAUGGUCAAGCUGAAGCCGCAAACAAGACAAUAUUAAGCAAUCUCAAGAAACGCUUAAGUCAUCUAAAGGGAGGAUGGUAUGAAGAACUCCAACCCGUCCUGUGGGCCUAUCGUACAACCCCUAGGCGGCCUACAGGAGAAACUCCAUUCUCUUUGGUUUACGGCAUGGAGGCGGUAGUGCCAGCUGAACUCAAUGUGCCCGGACUUCGCCGAACAGAAGCACCGUUAAAUGAGGAAGAAAAUUCAGCAAUGCUUAAUGAUUCACUAGAUACCAUAAAUGAAAGGCGUGAUCAAGCUCUAAUUCGGAUCCAGAAUUACCAGCAGGCAGCAGCCCGGUAUUACAAUUCUAAGGUUAAAAGUAGGCCUUUCUUCGUGGGAGAUUAUGUAUAAAGGCGCAUCUCCGAGAAUAUUUGAAAAGAAAGGAAAGUUGCAAAUGUUUCCAUAAAUAAAAAGGGGCCGAAGCCCAUUACGAGUUUAAAAUAAGUGAAGAAGUUAAAGAACAUUUAUGGAAGAGGCUCAGGAACAGGCUCCUUCAUCGCCGGUUUAGUCUUCGAAGUGGACGCCUUGUUCUUGGCAUCCACUUCGGAACGAUCCCGAACGCGUUUCCGACUGUUGCUGGCCUCCUCCUCCAAAUCGUCCUCCUCUUCGCUGUCAGAUGGAACGGCGCAGACAGGGACGUUCACGGGACCCGGGACUCCUUUAGCGCAGAGAUACAUCCGAAGCAUCUUCGGGAUCUCAGCGACGGAGUCGAAGUUCCGCCACUCCCAUUGAAAGGGAUCACUCUCCAAGGCCCGUAUCUUCCUCUCCACCCGAGCAAUGCGAGCCUCGAGUGUUUGCCUUUUAAGGCCCACAAGCGACGGUGCUUGUCGGCAACCUAGCAUAAAGAUGAAUGAAUAAGAUGAAACCAAAAGUUUUUAAGUCAAAAACUUUAAAUAUUUACCUUGUCGAUAAAGUCGCAAGCCUCUUUCUUCUCCUUUGAAGGAAAGUGAAAGACGGCGUGAGGAAAGAGAACGCCGGCCGGUUCAAAGCCGUCGCCGGACAAGAAGAGUGGGCUGCCGGGAUCAAUGGGGGCUACUUUUUCGUUUUCCAUUCUCGAAAUAUUUCUCAAGUAAGAUUCUAAAAUCGUGUUUAAUAAAGCUUAGAAGUAGGUAAGCCUUUAUUUAUAAUGAUUUAGGGUUUUUCUUGGAACCAUAAAUCCAAUAAUGGUAGUGUGUCCGAGUGGUUUAAACCAUUUUUGGAAAUCGAGAAAAGGCAGUUAUUGCAUUAAAAGACGAGCCGUUUUCCUUAUUUAUAAGAAGGGAAAGAGCAACCGUCGCAUUAACUACAAAAGUUUCUAAGGCCCAAGCCCAAUAAAUUUAUCGAGUUGACUAAACCCGAAGUGGGGAACUCGCUUUAAGCCGAGCUCAGCUCUCGCAUUCUAAAGAGAAAGGUCUGAUCAGCCUAAAAAUCUCAAAAGCAUAACCACAAGGCCACAAAAGGUUAAAAGCGGACUUUGCAAACCCGCAUAUAAUUUUAACCAACCCCCUUGGGUCAUAACCUAGAAAGGUUUAAAAGCCUCCUCAGGCAAAUAUCUUGUUCAAAAGAAAUGAUAAAGCCUCCUUAGGCCAAAGACAAGUUCGAAAUUAAGUUUAAACUAAGUGGGACAAUCCCCAGUUUAAAGUGGACACAGCCACUACGGAUUGACCUCCACCUCGGACCCCGGCUCAGCUUGAUCAGAUGAAGCUCCCUUACCACCCUCCGCGGUGCAACCAUCCUCCGGAGUGACCUCCGGUACCAUAGGAGCUACGGGCGGGACAACGUCUUCCGUCUCACUUGAGCCUAGAAAUAAUAAUUCCAGUCAAUCAAAGGUACAAGGUAAGAAAAGGUAAGCGUCAGGAGCCAAGCGUUACCUGCCCAGUCUAAACCCGAUUCACUUAUAGGAGGUGAUUCAGUAAAGAACUCCUCGAAGUCAAGCGGGUUGAAGGUCGAAAUGGGAAGAGCUGCCAAGCGACUCCGUUUUUCAGAAAGAUUAGUUGACAGCUCGGUCCUUUCUUGAUCCUCGGAGAAAUCUGCUUCAUGGAUUUGAUCCAGCAGAAUCAGGUUGCUUUCAUGCUCCUUGAUGUCUGACUCCAAGUCCGACCUAGCCUUCUCGGUUUGCAUGAAGCGAAUGGCCCCUUGGAUCAGUUCCAUCCCGCGUCCCUUAACCUCCUUUCUGGCCUUCGAUGCCGACCUUGCUAACUCGGAGUCACGCAACUUGGCCAGCGCCUUGUACUUCGCGUCAAGCUCGAUAAAUUGGUUGUUCAGGGUAUCGGCGGUUGAUUCGGAUUCAUGAAGUCUACCCUGAACACCAGAAAGUUCAUCCUGGAGUUUGUAAUUCCGGUCAUACUGGUCUUGCAGCUCCCCCUUUACCUGCGCCAGCUCGGAUGUUAAACUGUCGACCUUGUCCUCCAGAUCGUGCUUGGAGCCAGCAGAAGAAUUGAGUUCAGCCUCAAGGGCUGAGAAUUUCUUCUUCCACACGUCAACCUCCUUCUCCCGUCCAAUGACCAACCCUUCGUAAUGUUCGAUCAUAUCGUUAAGUUCGCUAUGAGCCUGGCAUUAUAAACCCAGGAUGGCGAGUCAGCUUGAAGAAUGGCAAUACAUAAAAAAAAAAACAACAAAAAAAAAAAAACAGAAUUAACCCGAGAUGAAUGAUAAGCGUGAAGCAAAUAGCGUUCACGAAUCGCAGGGCGCCAUUUGUUGAAGUCUGGCAAGAUCGAACCCGAUCGGGUCUUGAAGCAUCGGAAGACGCUACCUUCUUUCUCCAUAGCUGCGAAGAAGGAAGAGUUGUAAAAAUUGGAAUUUUAAUAGAGACAAAAAGUUUAAGUAUGUGUAAGUCACCAAACCUGAAAGCGAUUUGACUUGAGGGACGAGAGCAGGCUUCAACCUCGAGGAAGCAUCUCGAGAUUCAGAAUCUCCCCUUUUAGGGAUGCGCUCCGAGCAGUCUUUUCGCUGACGGGCUGGGAAGAAGAAGACAUGUCAACAGGUCGGGGAGGACCCAUUGGUUCAGUAGGAGGGGAUGAUCGAGGUGAACGGUCAGUCCGGGCCCUUGAUUUCUCCCUUCGCGGAGACGAGUCAUCACGGGACGACUUGUCCCUCUUCUUACGAACAAAAUUCUUAAGUGGUUCGUUGCUGAAAUUGUCUCGGGGAGGACGAGGAGAAUCACGACGAGGAGACCGCUCUCUCCGAGGAGAACGUUCGUCGCGGCGUUCGCGACGAGGUGUUAACCUAUAAGCAGCAACGGAUCUGGCUCCCUCGGAGCUGUUGUCAUCAACCAGCAGGGUCCUGCUGUAAUCUUUUUUGUCGAUGGCGGCCACAAGGAACGCCUUGUUUUCAUCACAAGCCUCUGCUAUCGGCUUGGAGAGUUUCUUACGCUGGGCAUCGAGGGCCCGAGCUGACAUUCCCUGAGUUGAGGGAGAAGGCGGAAGACGAUGAAGUAGAUUGGGAGGACUCAUCCUGAGAUUCCGGUUGGCCUCGACAAACCGGUCGAGGGUGAAAGAAUUCCAAAGGGUUUCCCCUUCAAGGAUUGUUUUGAAGAACUUGACAAAAUCUUCAGUCGGGAGAGUUGAAGCGAUGAGAGCUGCGAAAUGAAAUAACGAAUUUGGUCAGUAAAAAAUAAUAAUGAACAAUAAAGGAAUAUACGACCUAGUCUCUACCAGGUUUCGCAGACCACUUCGAUGGGAGUACAUCGGAAAGAUUCCCAAUCGAAGCAGGAGUUUUCUUAAUCAGAAACCAAGGAUGGUGCCAGUUCUCAUCCUUGUUCGGGAGGUGCGAGAUGAUGUUUCUAUUGGCAUUUGGAUACGCCGAGAAGUACCCAGUUUUCUUUGAUGAACUCCUUACGCUUAGGAGUUCAUUCAGCUCGGGGACUCCAAUGACGUAGCCAGCCUCCACCGCAACGGUUAUAAUCCCGAGGAUGGUUCGGAGGAGAUUGGGGGUUAAUUGAGGUAAAGCGAUCUCGAGAGCCGCCAAGAAUCGAACUAGGGCUUCGGGAAGGGGGAAGGUCAAUCCGCAGCCCUUGAAGUAAAUUUCGUAAACACAAUAGUAGCCGACACGGUGGUUCUCCGGGGAUUCCGUAGGGUUGGCUAUUUGCGCCUCCGCUAUGAUUCCAGGAUAAAUUUGACAGAGCCCCUUUAAUCGCUCAAGGGACUGAAGAGUGUAGGUGGAUUUGUAAUGAGGACCGGCAAUAUCGUUAGGACGAGUGCAUUCAUCAUUACUAGAGCGCCUCUCAUCGUAAGAAGGAGAUUCAGGUCUCUCAGAAUCGGGAUUCAUCGGAGAAAAAUGAAAAAUUCAAGAUCCGGCGAAGAAGGGUUUUGUGAAGAAAAGUAGAGAGAGGUUUUGAUUAAAGCACAAAAGUAAAAGAAGAGAGUAAUGGUGAAAAGAAGUUACCUCAAGCUAAUGAUGAAACCGCCUCGGAAGUUGUGUGGGAAGUGGGAAGGUUUUUUUCCCGUUUUAAUAGUAAUUAAUCAAUAUACGGUCAUAAUGAUGACAGAUGUCACUCGGUUAAAAAUGGCUAGUGCCGAAAUUAAAGGAGUGAUGAGAUUUUCGGCGGGAAAUCAGAAAGAUUCUCGAGCGCAAUCUUUGGCCACUUGAGCAUUUAAAGUCCUCCGAAUUGGAAUAGCACUUCGAAGAACUUGGGGGGCUAAUUGUUGGUGUCGGAUCCCGCACCAGAAGUACGAGACCAACCAAAGAUUGCCACGUGGUCAAGAUAAUGGCCCUUAAAAGAUGAAGCCCAUUGGACCCAUGAGCCGAAGGAACGGUCGAAGUGGUGACAAUCCGAAGUGACUGCAUUGUGACAUGAGUUCGAUGUAGAAGACACGGGUAAGUCGGUUCAAGGAUGCUUGGGCCAAAAGGCGAAGCCCAUGAAGAUCAGAGUCAACUCAAAUUCAAACGUUGAGCAUUAAAGCCGAAGAUCAAAACGGACACAUUUAAGAGAGAAUAAUUACACUUAAUUAGCCACUUUAAAUGUCGUUUCUCUAUGUAUAAAUAUAAAGGCCAAUGGCUAUGUAAUGGGGAUCUUCCUCUCAAGAAAGAAAUACUAUAGCAAUUUUCGUAGCAAUUUAGAAGUUUUUACCUAUUCAUUUUUGUCCCUCAAGAAUAAUCUUUCCUACUUAAUAAAAUACUUGAGUGUGUGAAUCCGACAUCCACAAUCAUUAACCCAAAGACAAGAUCUUGCUCUCUUCGAUCUUUAAGUGUCUUUGCCUCCGUGGUGAAUGGUCGUAGCAUUUCUAGCUCAGCUACAAGUGAUCUAUACUUCCCAAAGUGAGUAUUGAAAUCACUUUCAUCUUGAGAUAGACUCCCUAGAGCCUUCUUGAUCUCAUAGACCCGAGUCAAGUUUGAUUCAUUUCCGAACACAUUCAUAAGAGUAUCCCAUAGCUCUUUAGAUGUUUCGCAAUAUGAGUAUCCUUCUAAGAUUGAAGCCUCAAGUGAGCAAUGUAAAGCACUUAGGACGUUCAAAUCAUCUUGUUUCCAAGUGUCUUUAUCCAAGUUCUCAUCAAUUGCUUUCAACUCUUCAAAGGUAACCUCUAUGUGUUUCGUGAGCUUUCUUCCCCCUAACACAUUCGUUGUGGUUCUCUUCCACAAAAGAUAAUUUUUACCAUUCAACACCACUGGAAAUUUCAGCUCCUUGUACUUCUCACUCGUCUUGUGAGCCGUAAGAGACAUUUUAACCCUCUAAGCUUAGAAAUUUCAACCAAAGAUGUGACCUUUUCCCGAUCAAAACCCAAAACCAGAAGCUACAACCUAUGUCACGUCCCUCAACCAGAAGAUUCCCAACCUAAUCAAGAUAAAGUUCGCACCUUUAACUGAAGAACCAACAGAAACAACACAGAUUGCUUCGCCGGAACACCCAACGUGACGCGAGCUCUUCUUUGUCGAGACUUAUUUGAGUAGCGUACACCAGAGUCUUAAAGCUUCCGCCUUUAGACCUUCACUGUCACCUAAAAGCUUCCCACAGAUUGAAUCUUCGAUUUAGACAAGAAAACUAACCCAGAAGAUAUGAACGCGCUUCCGCACAAAAGUAUAGAACACAACCGAGAGAAAAGAGAAGAAGAUUAAAGAAGAAGAUUAAAGAGUAAAGAUUUAAGUUUUAAGAACCCGCUCUGAUACCAUGAUAAUAUUUGAAGAUUAAGUUGGAAGAAUAGGAAGAACCAUGAUGAGAGAAAGAAGAUGUAUUAGAUUGAUAAGAGUUAGGGUUACAAAUGGAGGCACACUUUAGUACAUAUAGAGAACAAACUCUAGGUCUAAGGGGGUGUGUACAAAGACAAUCAUACCCUCUCUUAGCCUUGUAACCCGAGUAACCCAAGUAACCUGUAACCCGAGUAACCCAAGUAACCUGUAACCCGAGUAACCCAAGUAACCUACAUUUAACCCUUAACUAUGACUUAGUUAGUGUUAAAUGUCUUCUUGAUUAACAACACAUCCUUGAAAAAUAUUCUCCAACUUGUAGGGAUAAUACUCUUUUUCCCUAAGCUUGGUUUUGUCCCACGUGGUUUUCCAAGCUUAGGUUUUUAAUGAGGUUAUUCAUACAAGUGCCAAGUUUAUACACAAUUGGGCAUUGUAAUAUAAACUUGAGGGGGAGUGUUAAUCAAGAAGACAUUUAACACUAACUAAGUCAUAGUUAAGAGUUAAAUGUAGGUUACUUGGGUUACUCGGGUUACAUGUUACUUGGGUUACUCGGGUUACAAGGCUGAAUGAGGGUGCUGUUGGUCUUUGUGCACAACCCAUCUCAGACCUAGAUUAUGUUCUCUAUAUAAACGUGUGUGCCUCCUCAUUGUGUUUGACACAUCUUUUUUUUCAUCAAUACAUUUCUGCUUCUCUCCAAUCUUAAAUCAUGGUUUCAUCAAUCUUUCCUACUUAAAUAUUAACAUUUGAUUCCAAGUAUCAUUUGCAUUUUCUUGAAUUAACCAGAACUUAAAGAUAAAGCUUCCUCCCAAAGUAUGCAAAUGGUGAAAUAUGUGCCUUAGCUAAGGUUUCUUCCAGGGGUGAAUUACCUGACAUCAUAGCUCCAUUUAAGGCCUGUUCCACUAAUCUCUCUUGCCACUUGUUUCCGCUGCUAACAAUGAUUGGAGCAUUUUGGAUCGCUAAAUAACUCUGUGUCCACGAAAACAUCCAUCUUUGAGUCUUUUUUAAGCCUUUAUGCUGAUGACACUGUUGUUUUUUGGAGAUCUCGUCUCCAAUUUUGUAUUUACUAAAGAUAAAAUAUUGUGAAACACCUUUUGAUUCUCGUCGUUGAAGAUACCGAGUCUCACGCCCACUUGCAACAACUGACCUAGGCUUCGAAUGGGAGACGGAGAAAAAGCAGUUCUUCUGCAUAUGUGGGUGAAGCGUUUUUAUUUUGCUAUUCAAGCAAUUUGAAUAAACUGUACGUUUGGUUCAAUUAAAAUAAUAAAAUAAUAGCAAUCAAGUUGCAGACCAAAAUUCAUGAAGUUUUUUCUUGAUCCGCUUACUACAGUAGAACCACCACAAUUAUGAUGGAUUUGUGGUGCAUCCUCUUUUGUUAUUAAUUAUUUAUUAUUAUUUUUUUGAAACAAAUCCAAAAACUUUGAAAAUAUUGAGUUACAUAAUUUUUAAUAACAACACAAUGAAUAAUAAAGGAAAAAAAGAUAGUGAUUAGAAAAUUUUGUCUUACAAUAAUUAAUGAGACAUAAGAUAGUGAUUUUACUUUAUAAAAUUAUACAAACUAAAAAUGUUAUCUGGGCGAAAAAACCUGGAACCAAAGCGAACUGACCCUAAAUAUUUCAAAUCGAACCGAACCUAGAAACGAAAUACCCAAACAAAUCUUAAAUUUAAAUUUAUAUAUUUGAACAACCAUAACAAAACCGAUCUGAACCAAACUACGAAUUGAAUAGAUACCCAAUAUAUAAUUAUAUAUCCAAAAUGUUAAUUAUAUAUAGAUUUGAUAUAACCCAAUUAUUUGAAAUUACAAUUAUAAACUCGAAACAAAGUCUAUAAAUAUUUUUACAUAGAAAUUUGAAACAAUUACAUGUUUUUAAAAAAAAAAAAAAAACAAUACAAUAAUUUUAUUUUAAUAUAAUUUAUCAUGGUAUGUAUAAUAUUUAAUUUAAAAUUAAUAUUUUUAUAAUAGAAAUAUUUCACUCGCAUCGUAUGAUCCAUUUUCACCAUUCAACGCAUAUUAAAAGCGUUCGAACCGCUAGAUCCGCUUUUGUACCGCUAGAUCUGCUUGAUCCGCUUUUGUUCUGCUUGAUACGCUUCAUCCGCUUGAUCCGCUCCGCCCGAUACGCUUUCUCCAUUCGGAGCCCUAGUCUUGCGCCUCUCAUAUUUUCAUGAUUUUCCAAAAGAAAAAACACAACAUCUCUCCCUCUCCUUUCUUCUUAAAAUUGUAAGUGUCUCAAGAGUAUAACAUAGAGAAAUUAUUUUCAAAAUUUCGUCGCUUAACAAUUAAAAUUGCCACCAUUUAUUAUUUUUAAUGUUCACAUUGGUUCUUACCACUACAAAUUAAUUACCACAUUUUUACCGGUUGAAUUCAUAUGUUUUAUAUAGUAUUGUUGUAAACAAAAUUUCAAAAACAAAAUAAUUUUAGAAGAUUAUCCAGUUAUCCAUUUUUUAUUUAUAUAUUUUAAAUAUAAAAUUCCCAAUAAAAUAAAAAAAUUAAAAUGAUAGAAAAUAAUUAAGACAUUAUAGUUUAGUACUAAAUCCACACAACGCGUGGGGUCGAUUUCUGGUAUAGAAGAAAGCCACGCACAUCAUCCAUUUGGGAGCAUUUUGCAAAGUAAAUGUUGCUACCGUCAUUUUUUUGCCAAUUUAUCUAUUGUUGAUUUUCUACACACUAAGCCAAUGUUAUUAGUUUGUGAUUUAAAUACUGUUUUGAUUACUUUAGUAAAAUCAUAGAAAGUAAAUAAAUGGUAGACUCUAAACGAGUAAUAGAGAGUUUUCUAUAAUCUUAUUAAUUAGUUUUUCCAUAAUCUUGUAAAGUUUUUCAAACAAUCUCUCUAUUUUGUUAAUAAUUUUCAUGACUUUAUUUUCUAAAUAAAAAUGUAUAAAAUCAUAAACCAAUAACAUAAUAAUUUAAUUCAUUAACAAUCGUAAAUUCUUUUGAUUUAGUUGAAUAACACAAAAAGUUUAUUGACUUUACACAAUUUUGAAUCCAAUAAUUUAUGAAGAUUUUAGAAAACUUUUUACAAAUCAAAAACUAAUAACACUAGACUUUAAUAGAAUUUUAUAAAAUCUUGAAUGUGUCACAUUGUCAUUUAUGGUAAGUAGUAUCCAAAAUAAUAAGCUUAAAUAGAGGAUCCUCACCAUCAACUUCCACUCAUCAUCACAACUUCAACUUUUCAAUACUCAGAUUAACAAUGACGAUUUUCUCCACAUUACAUCUUCUCUUCUUCUCCUUCAUCAUAGCCACAUGUAUACAUAAAACAUUUCCAACAUUUUCUGAUUACUACUUUGAUUUAAUAAUUUAUCUCAUAUAAGAUUUUUGUUUUCUAUCUAAUAAUUUAUUUUGAAUUGUAUAUUCUUUCAAGGUACAAUUUCCAUUGUCUCCGGCACCGUCUUCACUUUAUCGAACCGCUGCAGCUUCACCGUCUGGCCCGGAAUCCUAACCGCAAAAUCAAGACUAAUCGGCGACGGCGGAUUUGCCUUACCUUCAGGAUCUUCUGUUAACUUAACCGUUUCUCCAGGUUGGUCCGGUCGAUUCUGGGGUCGAACGGGUUGCAACUUCGACGCCUCGGGUUCCGAAAAAUGCACCACCGGAGACUGCGGCGGCAAGUUAAAAUGCGCCGGCGCAGAAGGAGCUCCACCAACCACACUAGCCGAAUUCAGAAUCGGCUCCUCCGGAAAGGAAUACGCCGUACAAGAUUCCUACGACGUGAGCCUCGUCGACGGUUACAACGUUCAGAUGAAAAUCAAUCCACAAGGUGGCUAAGGCAAUCGUAAAACCGCGGGAUGUGUUUCGGACGUGAACGCUAUUUGUCCGAACGAGCUACACGUUACGGACUCGAAGGGUGUUGUGGCAUGUAAGAGUGCUUGUGAGGCUUAUCAACAAUCGUGAAACCCUCAUUAAAUGUAAAAUAUGAUACAGAGAAAGCUUAAAUACUAAGAGAGAUAACCUACUAUAAACAUGAUAGAUAACCAAAGAUAACCGCACUAUAUUCAACACUAAACAGGAGAGAUAUAAUCUCUAAUACGCCCCCGCAAGAUGGAAGUAUGACAUCUUGGAUUUGAAAAUUUAUGUGCUCAAAAAGACUUUUAUGAGAAAGCAACAGUCUCAUUUUCUUCCAUGUAGAAAGACUUGACACCUUCAUAAACUGGAUUAUAGAGAAAUGAAUCACAUGUCGUCCUCUUCUUCAAUAGCCAUGAGAACUUGAGAGAUCUUAUUUGCCGUGAGUGGCUUGAAUCCAAGAUGAGCUUGAUAAAACUGUUAAGUAUCACAAGUGAAGAAUACUGCUCAAAGAACCUUGAAGUCUCCAUGAGUUUGUAGCCAAGUAACAUCACAAACCAGCCAUAGGAGUAGCAAGCCGUAGACAAGUAAAGGGCAUCGUCACUUUUAACCCAAACAUUCUCUUACCAAAACCAUGUCCACAAAAUAAUUCUGCUACUAAAAUCUUGAGGAUGAUGAUUUUAUAGAGGCCAUAGCAAUGAUCCAAAGAGGAACCAAUUGUUCUUAAUUUCAUAGUACCACCAGAAUGUGAUCCGAAAUUGUAAACAAUGGAGUCGGCUUGUCCGUUCUGUGAAUCCCACUUACAUAAGAAAGCUUGUCGUGAACAAAUGAUGAUUGUAGAAAGAAUUGCAGAGUCUGUACAUCAAUCACAAUGGCAUGGAAACAAAACCAGCUAUAGGAGGAGCUAUCACUUGCAAUCCUCCAAAGUUCAGCAAAAACAUGACAACAAUGUCAUAAUCCAUGGCGAUUAGAAGUAGAAAGUCAUAGCAAACUUCAAGAAUGGUUGGUAAUGUUGAGACCAUUUCCAAUGAAGAAGCUUUCUCGCUAACACGGCAAAACACAAGAAGAUCAACCACAGAUGCAGCUAGGUCGAAGCAUCAUGUAUCAAUCAUCAAUAUAAUAGUUCUGCCUAAACCGUUCUAACUGAAGCUCAACAUCAUCACCAACGAAGACAAUUCCAGAAUCUACAAAUAUCAUUCCAGAAGCUAAAUUCAUACUGAGAAAUGGCAGUAUCCAUGAACAUAUAACAUCAAACAUGAACCAGAGUAUGAAUGACUUUCCGGUGGUCACGUAAGAGAUCCAAAAAUGUAACCAUUUAGCAGAAUCAUGAGCUGGAAUGAGCAUCAGCUGAGAAGAUAUCACCAUUAUACCAAAUCUCAAACGCAGAUCGACUGAAACUGAUGAAAUCAAGCUCAAUCUAGAAGCUGAGAUAGUCAAAUCGAAUAAGAGAAACUGAAAUUGAGCAAUUGAAGCUCAAAUCGAGAUAUACGAAGCUCGCUUUUGACGAAACAGAGCUCGAUUCGAAGACAAACACGAUCAAUAUUGAUGAAUCAAUCGUAUGAUAAAAGAUCAAUCUGAUCCAGAAAAAAUAGUCGAAUGUGACAAUGCGAUCAACUUGAUCGGAAUGUAGACGAAGCAAUGAAAACGAUAUAACAGAAUCACGAUCGAUUUUGAUGAAACGAUCGGAAGAAAACAGAUCAAGAUCGAAGAUUAAUGAUCAAGAUCGAUGAUAACACGAUCAAUUAUGAUCGGAAAGAAGAUGAACACGAUCAACUUUGAUCGGAAACAGAAAUUGAUUAAAGAAAAAAAAAAAAUAACAACCGGAAUCGAAACAAGAUUAAGAUUUCGCCGGUGAAGAAACAGAUCGAAGAACAAAAAAAAACGAAGAAACAGAUCGGAGAAGACGAUGGAUUGAUCGGAAAAAUCAAUUAGUCGGAGAUAUAAACCGAUCAAGCGAUAAGAAAUCAAACGGAGGACCAAAAUCUCAAAGAAAAUCGAGUGACGAAUUGAAAAAGAACAACAAUGAAAUCAGAGAAUCGAAUUAAGCGGAAGAAGUGAAUGAAGGUUGGGGAAUUUGCUCUGAUACCAUUUCAGAUCUAACAAACUUUACUUUUCAAUUAUGAUUUUACUUCAUUCAAUCGUAAAAGAUGUACAAAGAAAACCUUAAAUACUAAGACUCUUAACCAAAGUUGAUAACCAAGCUAUACAUAAAUUACUAAACCAACUAAACCAAUCUAGUGAUAUCUAAUACUAACGCGAUCAACUCUGAACCAGAAGAAAUAGUCGAUUGCGACUAUGAUAAACGCGAUCAACUUGAUCGGAAUGAAAACGAAGAACAAUGAAUACGAUAUAACAGAAUCACGAUCGAUUGUGAUGAAAUGAUCGGAAGAAAAAACAGAUAAGAUCGAUGAUUGAUGAUCAAGAUCGAUGAUAACAAGACCAAUGAUUAUCAGAAUGAAGAUGAACACGAUCAGCUUUGAUCGGAAACAAAGAUAGAUGAAAGAAAAUAAAAUAACAACCGGAAUCGAAACAAGAUUUCGCCGGUGAAGAAACACGAAAUCGAACACGAUCAACGCGAUCGGAAUGUAACACGAUCGGAAAAGCAAGAAAACGAAGAAGAAAGUAGAAAAUCUCCGAUGAAAAUGUCGAGAAUGAAUCGGAGAAAAAGAUGAUGAUAGAUGCAAGAGGUAUGAACAAAGAAUGAAAGAUGAUUUGAGCUUGCGGAAGAAGAAUGAAGUUUGACGAAGCAAAGCUUGAAGAAGAAAAAAAUUGCUCUGAUACCAUAUCAACAAUCGUGAAACCCUCAUUAAAUGUAAAAUAUGAUACAGAGAAAGCUUAAAUACUAAGAGAGAUAACCUACUAUAAACAUGAUAGAUAACCAAAGAUAACCGCACUAUAUUCAACACUAAACAGGAGAGAUAUAAUCUCUAAUAAGGCUUUUAACAAACCGGAGUAUUGUUGCACCGGCGCUUUCAAUAGACCGGAGACUUGUCCGCCGAAGAAAUACUCGAAGAUAUUCAAAGGAGCUUGUCCCACUGCGAAUAGCUAUGUAUACAAUUAUGCUUCGAGUAGAUUUACUUGUAAUAAUAUGCCAAUUACGUUAUCAGUUUCUGUUCUUAGGCAUAAUAGCCUUCCUUAUUCUUUUAUCAAUGAAUAAAGAAUAAAUCAGUUUUUAACAUAGUUUUAUGUUUUUUCCUUUACAAAAAAACUUAAUUAAUGCCAUGUUUUUAUAACAAAUAAUACACAUAGCCAUUAUAUUAUCAACGAGGUAGACAAAUUUAAUCAGUGUUUCUAAAAUAAGAUGAAGGUAACUUAUUGUUUUUUUUUUUUUUUUUUAACGGCAAAUCAAUUAUAUUAUAUCAUAAAAAUGUUACGUCAUACAUGAUACAUGAACCAUUAAAAUACAACCAUUGAAUAAAAUAAAGGAAAUUGAACACAAUUUCGAUGAAGAAGUGGAAGUAACCCUGCUUUCCAAACGAAAGCCUUAUAGGCAACAGAUGACAUCUGUUAAGUCCCCUCUUCAUAUACUCGUAAAAGGCUAACAUCUUGUAGAUGAAAUUCCCAAAUGCUUUCCGCAUCACUUUGAAUAAACGAACACACUGAUAUAUUGCUUGAAAUGGUUCUGAAUCAUGUCUUUUAUAACGCCUUAUCCAUCGUUGUCGGUUAGUGACCAUGAUUUGCUCUUCCAUAAAACCUGAGUAAUCCAAUUGAGGGAUAAUAUGGACAUCACCAUCAUCGGACAGUAUCCAUGACCAGAGGAUGUUAUCGUGAAUGCCACUUCCUUCAAUCAGGAGGAUUUGUCUAUUAAUUCCCGGAUCAAAUACCCAAAUGACUUCUCCAAACCAUAGAUUAGGAGAAACUUCAUCGGUUGACAACCGGAGAUGACGACGGUGAUAAGGAUCACCGGAAACAAACUUCUUCCGAAAGAAGAGAAAAAUAAAGCAAUAUUGAAUAGAAAACUUCAUAGCUUAUUGUUUUUUGUUUUAUAAAGCUUAUUACAUAUCAAAUUAUAUUUGAGUAAAUCGUUUUUUUUCUAAAUUUCUUUCAUAGCAAAUUUUAAACCAAAUCAAUAAUAAUUUCAUCUCUAAUUGUCUAAUGUAUAUCUAUGCAUGCGGGUAAAUAAAUCUUCAAUAUGUUUACUUUAAGAAUAAAAGAUAUGGUAAUUGAAGUACAAAAUCUUGUUUUUUUUUGCUUUGCUGUCAACAAUUUACCAUUAAAUCAAAGAUUUCAUCAAUUUAUGAAAUGUUCUUUUUUGAUGACACUUUAUCUACUACCAAACACAAAAUGAUCAUCUAUACUAUCAAAAUGAUCCUAGUAAGAAUAAUUUUGGAGUCAGACAUGUAUUAGGACUAUUCUUUAGUUAGCCUAAACUUAAAUGGCCACUUUAACAUAAAGUAAAAAUCUCUGCAUCUAUUUUAUCAAAGACAAGUUUUCGAAUUUGCUUUGAGAGAAGAAAUCCCAAGUUCAGAUCUUGAUCUAAAAAUCUUUCAAUUGUAAAGCUUAUGUUGAUUUAGUGGUUUAUCAAAUGAUGUAUUAUAUAUAACAUAUCAAUAAAUCGAAUGCUGGAAAAAAAAAAGAACAAUAAAUCGAAUAGGGGAUGAAGAAAAUAUCACGACAAACUCAUUAUUUCCCACAUCCUAAUUUUAUCACUAAAGUGGUAAAAACAACCUGAACCUUAUGGGUCCCGAGUGCUGUUUAGUCUAGGUUUUGGUCUGAGAUCCUGGUAAAAAAAAAAAGGAAAAAAAAAGUUUUUUUUUUUUUAUCAACAGCUUUUAAUUAAAAUUCAAAAGAACCCUGGGGACUGUUGUUUACAUAAGUGAUAUGAUGCGGUUCGGUACGAACAUUUCGUGCCAAAUUAUCCGCUUUUACAUUUGCAUUACGAAAAAUUAAAGAUAAAGAGAAGCUUGAAAAUUUCUCCUUGUCGCUCUUGAUUUAUUCCAAAUAUGCUGAAAAAGCCGGCCAUUCGGUUGGGGAAGACACCAUCUUCACCAGAUCUGAACAGUCUGUAUAAAAAGCUACAUCUUGGUUGUCGGCUCCAAUCAUACACUUCAUCGCCCAGAGAAGAGCUUCCACUUCGGUAUGUAAAGCUGAGAGACUUCUUCGGAUAUUGGCUGCUCCCAUAGUUGGCGCCUCUCCAUGUGAUGAUGUGCAGAACCACCCCGUUCCUGAAAAUUUAUCAGUCUCUUUCCAUGAUCCAUCCACGAAACAACGAUAUCCGGAAUAUAUAGUAUCAUGUGAAAUAUCUCUCUCUCGAACUCGUGUUUCGCAGUUUGAAGGACCACGAUUUUCAUUAAUAAGCUCGAAUUGGGCUAGUUGCCAAGAUUGCGCCUCUUUUUCCGCUAAACAUAAAACCUCCAGUGGGUCUUUAUCCACAUUUUCAAAGAUCUUUUCGUUUCGAACUUCCCAAAUAUACCAAAUUAUCCAUGGAAAUGAAGAUGAAUCCACCUCUGAAGGAAUUCUCCAAAAAAGGUGAUCCAAAUUCGCAUAAAUUGAAGUCGUUGGGAAGAUUUCUGGGGCCGUAGGAAUAUGAGAUAAUGCCCAAAUUUGUCUCGCUGGAUGACACUCAAACGUGUAUGAUUAAUUGAUUCCUCUAUCGCACCACAUCUGCCACAUCCUGUAUCACAAUUUAUACCUCUUUCCGCAGAUUUUCUGUAAACGGUACACAACCCGAUAGAAUUUGCCACAUAAAAUGACGUAACUUAGGCGGACACUGCAUCUUCCAAGUAUGUGCUUUUAGAGAUUUAAAAUUUGGGCCAAUAAACGAUAAAUUGGCUUCUAAAUCCUCUAGCCGCGCCGUAUGAUAACCAAAUUUAACUGUAUAUUUUCCGGAUUUUGUGAAAUGCCAACCAAGGGAAUCCUCCUUAGUUGGCGCACCCAAAGGUAGGGCACUAAUCAGCACGACAUCAGCACGACAUUUUCCGGAAAAAAAAGUUAUUUUUAAAACUUUUAGUUUUUAGUUUCUGUAUUAAAGAAAAAAAAACGAAACAAUGUUAAAACUUAUAAGACUAAUGUAAAAAGAAUAAAAAAAAUAGGGAAUCUUGCGAGAUGUAUCACUUUUUGACGAUUCCCUUCGAAAUCUACCACAAUUGGAAAAAGUUUUCUGUUUCUACCACUUUUUUUGCCAUGUGAUAAUUUGUUGACGAGUUUGCCCUUGAUGGCGAUGGACUGAUUUGUCAGAAAAAAGGACAGCUGCAUUAAUUGUACUCGGGGACAAUUUUUGUUACAUUCAGGGACAAAUUUUAUUACACUUAGAGACAAGUUUUUCCCCAAAACUAGUAAAGUAAAAAUAAUUUUAAAACAAGAUUUAGUCAUAGACAUGGACUUAAACGCAUCUUUCGAUAAUAAUUUCAGAAGAAAGAAAAACAAAAACUGGGGACAACGAGAAUCGAAAGAGAUAAACAAUGAUUUUUAGAAAAUCAAAUGACUAAAUCGGAGGAUAAAUAAGUAGGAACAAGAUCUGGAUCUUGAUGAAUAAUGGAGAAGACUGGAUCUUGCAACUUCGAUAUUGCCGGAGACGAUCGAGAGGAUUACAAUCGCCGGGAACUGUUAUAAUGAUAUGACGUGAUAGAGAACAAAGACAUAUUGUUUGACUUUAAAGGAUAAAUAUGAGCAAUCUUCGGCCAGGGUAUUAUAGUCUUCUUAUGUGGACCUUAUGGCAUAGGAGAAAAGAUUAUAACGAACAUGGCACUUUGUAUAAGUUUUGUCACUGUUCAUGGCACUGACGCUAAGGGCAUCAUCAAUGGGGGAUCAUGUGAGGGUGUUCUUAGAGAAAAUAUAAUGUUAAAAUAAUGUAAGAUCAUGUGUUUAGAUCUUUUAUUUAGAAGUUGAUUAGUGAGAGAACAUGUGUAAGAUCUUAAGAUUUAAUAAUAUAAUAAUAAUCUACAAAUUUUAAAACAUAUUACAAUUAUUAAAACAUUUAAAAAUAACAUAUUAAUUGCAAACUUUAAAAACUGAAAAUAAAAGUGAAAAUACAAUACUAAAUAUUUAUGAAAAAAACAUUAAAAAUAUAAAUAACAAUAAACAAACAAACAUAUUACUUAAUAAAAGCACAAAAACAGUUUAUCUAAUUAAUACAUAGUUUAUUAUCCAAAUUUAUUCCAAAUAUGUUGAAUCAAAUCCUUUUUUAAUUGGUGAUGUGCUUGUCUAUCACGAAUUCUUGUAUGCCCAUCACCUAAACCUUCAAGAUUUGUAGCCAUAUUUACUGAAAACGUAAGAUCCCGAGGUAUUUCGGUUUCAUCGUCUUGUCGGAAUUCAUUUUCGUCAUAGAGAGUGUAUGAAUCUCGCUCAUCUUCGACAAUCAUAUUAUGGAGUAUGAGACAAGCUCUUAUAAUAUAUGCUAUUUUACCUUUCGACCAUAAAAGAGAUGGAUUUUUAAUCAUGGCGAAUCUAGAUUGCAGGACUCCAAAUGCACGCUCAACAUCUUUUCGUGCACCUUCUUGACGUUCAGCAAACAAACUAUGUUCCGGGUGUUGUGGUUUUGGGAUGGAUUUAACAAAUAUCGCCCAUUCGGGGUAAAUGCCAUCCGUCAGAUAAUAAGCCAAAUUAUACUCCCAAAUUAUCACUAAAAUAAUCGUUCCACAAACGUUCAUGCCCUUCUUCCCGUUUUCUAUCGAUAUAUGUACGUUUCUUCCUCUCGGCCGGAAUUUCCUCUUCCACCGGAAUUUCCUCUUCAGCAGCUUGAAAUUGAUUAUGAAAUUGAGCUUGAAAAAAUUGGUUAAAACUAUCAUUAUUCGGAUCAUAAUGGUAGUGAAAAUUAUUGGAAGAAGAAGCCAUAAAAACUUGGGAGAGAUUAAACUUGGAAUUUGUAGAUAGAGAAAAUAAACUUGGAAUUUGUAGAUAGAAAGAGAAGAAAAUUGUAUGUUCGUUGGGAGAGAAGGAAAUGUUUUCUUGGUUUGUUUUAUGAAAGAAGUGUAUGUUUGAUGAAAUACAAUCUUCUGCUCGUUUUAAAUAUUUAUAGAGAGUUGCAAGUUUGUGUGGGAAAAGGCAUUUGAUACAUCCAUAACGUCAAGUUGAUACAUCAAGACAAACACAUGUGAACUUUGGUCUUUCAUACAAACAAAAGCUUGUGACUCUUGUCAAAUUUUGUUUUCCAAAACAUACAAAACAAAUGCACGUGAGUCUGGCUUUAAAACUGUGCCUACAAUCAUACAUUAUAUGCUGAACUUGCCGACUACUCUAAUUUACUUAAUAAACAUGAUGAGUGCCACUACCAAAACACUCAUACUGAAGCAAACAACAACUACCAAUUCAGGGGCCAAGUUGAACAAUGGUUUCUUCUCACCUAACUCAGUAACAAGCCUCUCCAGUUUCACCAACCUCUGAUCUGAAUGGUUUUGGUCGUCCUUGAACUUCAUCAGUUCUGUCUCAUAAUCAGGUUUUGUUGGUUCAGCAUCACAGCUCCACAGACUCCUCUUCACAAUCUGAGGUUGUAGAUGAUAGUAACUGCUAUCUUCCUCCUCUUCAGAACUGUAGUCUAAUGGGCUGUUUAUCCCAUAGUCAUAGAUAUCAUCAAGUCCCAUGUCUUAUUCAACCUGAAACCAAAAAACAGAAAGCAAUCAAAAUGAAGAAUGCAAUCAGAUAAUCAGCUUGCCAAAGCUCAUUAAACAUGAGAUAUAUAAGAAUGCAAUCAGAAUACAAAACCAAAGCAAUCAGGAUUUAGGAAACAAACAUAGCCGAUUCAUUAAAAACAUAAGAGAACAAGUUGAACAAUGUUACAUAUCUGAUUCAUAAACACAUUAAAAACAAAAGACAAACAUAGUUAAAACAAACAUAAGACCAACAGACUUAUCAUCUAGUGUUUAUUCUAAGUUAAAAAAAGUUCAGCAACUAGCUUCUUCUUUACAACUUUGUCUUCUUCAUCCAGAUUUUCUUUCUUGGCAAUUAGACUGUCAAGAAUGGACAGCUUUUGGAGUUCUUUCAUUCCCUCCAAAUCCUUCUGUUUUAGCUCAAACAUUUUACUAAACUCAGCAGAUGGUGAAGCAGAUGCAGCAGAUGGUGAAGCAGAUGCAGCAGAUGGUGAAGCAGAUGAUGAGGCCUUCUCUUUACCUUUGGUCUUCCUUAAUUUUUUCAUUGCCUUUAUGCCAGGAGGCCUACUCUCGUGCUCACCUACUACAGAGCCUGAAGAUGGUGCAGCAUCAUUGGCUUUGCGUUUGUUAGAACUGGUUGACUUAUUAGGAGUGGGGUUCAUAGUCUCCAGGUUUAGCCAUUUUUGUUCAUAGCGAAGAACAUUCCAAGCAUACUCCAAAGCAAACUUCUUCUUGUAAAUAUUAGUGUAGAUUUGGUGAGCAUUCUGCAGAAUAUCCUCUUCAUUCAUGCCACUAGCUUUCUCAUCAUAUGCCUCUGCAUAAGUUCCACAGAACCUGCUCACUGCUCUACUGAUUUUUUGCCAUCUUUGUCUACAAAGAUCAUGGCGUCUUGGCUCAGCACCACCAAGUACAUGAGUACUUGAUGCGUAAUAAUCUCCUAUCCGCUUCCAAAAGGACCCUCCCUUUUGAUCAUUCCCAACUAUUGGAUCUUUAGAGGUGUUUAACCAGCCGCUUAUUAAGACUAAGUCAUCUUGUGUGGACCAUAUCCUUCUCUCCCUACGUUGUUCUGCUGUCUCUUCUGGUUGACUAGGAGGUUGACUUGGCUGUGAACUAGUUUGUGAACUAAAAGGAGGGAUUUGGGAGGAACCAAUGUUUGCAUUGCGAUCAAAGCCAUCAUAUGGGAAGUUAAGAAGGCUGAAGUAGGAUUGAGACUGACUAUUAUUUGGAGUAUUAUUUGGUUCCAUAGCAUUCAGAGGAAGAGAGAUUAUUGGCUAGAAGAGAGACUAUUGGCUUGGAGAGAGAUUAUUGGAUCAGAGAAGUAGAAGGUAUGAGAGAUUUAGUAUUGGCUUGGAUGUAAUAUAGAGAAGUUAAGAAGUUCAUUAAAGUGUAGUGUUGUUAAAGACUUUUAAUUCUAAAUAACCAUUACCUACUUCAGUCACUUCAGAAGUAAAUGAAGGUCAUUGAGUGUUUUUUAUAAGUAAACCAAAAAAGUUUGGUUGUGUUAACGCAUUGAACUCAACUAGAAUAUCCUAAGAAUUCAUAUCAUCUAGCAAUUCAGUUUUGUUAAAGCAUUAAGGGUUAGGUUUCAUAUAAAUCAGUUUUAAAAUUGCAAGACCAUCACAACUCAAGUGGAAACAGGGAUCAUUAUCCAAAUUGCAAGACCAUCUUAUCCAAAUUGCAAGACAAUCACAAAUUGCAAGACAAUCACAAAUUGCAAGACAUAAACCAAUCAAACAUCCGAGACCAAUCCAAACCUUUAAUUGUCAGAUUAGAUGAAACCCUAUAACAUUUAUACUAAACCCAAACCUAAUUCACAAAUUUCAAGACCCAAAAUCGAUGAAACAUAACUGAGAGAGGACACGAGGGGACUACCUUGUCUAUUUCGCCGGAGAUGAGAUUUGGGAGACAAAGGAGACGAGGAUACAAAGGCGUAAGGAAAGGAAUUCGACUUCGACUUCAAAUCGCCGGACCUAUGAAUCGACAAAGAAGACAUUUUUAACGGAUGAAAUUCACAAAACUAUGUACAGAUCGAUUUCUACAUGGAAGAGAUCUCGAUUUUGGUGUUUUAAUGGCCGGAAAACACACCUUAAUCGGAGAAGAUGAUGAGCUAUCGCCGCUUUGGAGAGGAAGAAGGAAACCUAGUCGCGAUUUUGAUUUUUGGAGAAAUGAAAAUGUUUUCUCCUUUGCAAAAAAGCGGAUCCAAUCACGGGCUGACACGUAGACCAGGAACAAGGCUUAAAACAGAUCUCGGGCGAGAUCACUUCCCUCUGAUCCAAGCCCACUAUUCAUUUUUCUCAAUUUUUAUAUUCCUAAGCACAUGGCCCAUGAUCUGCCAAUGCAGAUGGCCUAAUAAACUCUAAAAAAUAAAGAGAAGUUAAAAUGACUUUUAGAAUUAAAUAACGUAAAACGACAUCGUUUAGUCAAAAGUUUCUACUAUCCAUGUAUGUGGUGGAGCAAGGUCCAAUGGUUGAACAAGCAACCUUGUGAUCUAUUUUAGUAGAAGAAGAAGCAAACAUUUAAACAUUGUCAUCGAUUCCUGUAAUAAAAGACUCCUCCAUGGCGGUUCCAUUUCUAAGCUCUUCUCUUCAACUCACACCCACUUCUCCGAUUCUCUUCACUAAACUAACACCACCAAUAAUCCACAACCAGAGACCAACAACAUGCACUGUACCCACAAAACCGCGUCUACGUCUCCUCCGCCGUUCCGCCGUCGCUGGAACCGCCGUAGCUGAUCAAAUAGAAGGAGGAGGAGAGGUUCUUUUAAACCUUGAAGAAGAGAAACGUGUUGAGGUAGCGGAUUAUGAUUGGACAGAGGAAUGGUACCCAUUGUACCUCACUAAAAACAUCCCUGACGAUGCGCCGCUUGGUCUCACCGUCUACGAUCGUCAAAUAGUAUUGUAUAAAGAUGGUGAAGGAACACUUCGCUGUUACGAAGAUCGGUGUCCUCAUCGGUAAGAUAUCAUCAUCUAGCAAAACCGCAACCACUAGUUUUUUUUUUUUUGUUUAGGAAUCUGAAAUUGAGUUUUGUCUUUUUUUUUUUUUUUUAGUUUGGCUAAGUUGUCUGAAGGACAAUUGAUUGAUGGAAGAUUGGAAUGUUUGUAUCAUGGUUGGCAAUUUGAAGGAGAGGGUAAAUGUGUCAAGAUUCCUCAGGUUCUUUGUUUUACUGAUUUUGCUAUUUAGAGAUUUUGUCUUCACUCUUGAACUUACUGGUUUUGGGUUUUCUUUUUAACAGCUUCCUGCGAGUGCUAAGAUUCCAAAGGCGGCUUGUGUGAAGACCUAUGAGGUGAAGGAUUCACAAGGAGUUGUAUGGGUGUGGAUGUCAACAAAGACACCUCCAAACCCUGAAAAGCUUCCUUGGUUUGAGAAUUUUGCUAGACCUGGUUUUUUCGACAUUUCGACUACUCAUGAGCUUCCUUAUGAUCAUUCCAUUCUUCUUGAGAAUCUGAUGGAUCCUGCUCAUGUUCCUAUUUCUCAUGAUAGAACUGACUUCACUGCUAAAAGAGAAGAUGCUCAGCCUCUGGUUUUUGAGGUUACAGAGAGAAGUAAUCGGGGUUUCGCAGGGACUUGGGGUCGAGAGAAAGACGGAGGGAAAGGGAGUAAUUUACUUCGGUUUGAUGCUCCUUGUGUUCUGCAGAAUAAUCGAGAGUUUGAGGGGAAGGAUGGAGUGAAGAACUAUUUUUCAGGGCUGUUUCUUUGUAGACCUACAGGGCAAGGGAAGUCUAUGCUUAUUGUUAGGUUUGGGGUCACAAAAAGAUCGCCUUUGGUUUCGGUGUUACCUCAAUGGUUCUGGCAUCAGAAUGCCUGCAAGGUUUUUGAACAAGACAUGGGGUUUCUAUCGUCUCAAAACGAGGUUCUGAUGAAGGAGAAAGUACCAACUAAGGACUUGUAUUUAAAUCUAAAGUCAUCGGACACAUGGGUCGCUGAGUAUAGAAAGUGGAUGGACAAAGUUGGUCACGGGAUGCCUUACCAUUUCGGGCAUAGGACCAUAUCUCUCCCCAAGGUCCCUCCUGUAGUGGAACAUGCCCCUGCAGGGCUCAUUGCAGCUCUCUCGGCUUCUUACCCUGCAAAAGGCGGAAUUGGGACUAUGCACGCUCCCAAUUUGGCUAACCGGUACUUCAGACAUAUUAUUCAUUGUAGAAGCUGCAGCAAUGUGAUCAAAUCUUUUGAGCUCUGGAAAAAUAUCCUCUCUGCCACGGCAGUGGCUUUGACAACUUUGGCCAUUCUGGUGGUUAGUAGACAGUGGAAGGCUGUCCUGUUAGGUUCGGCAGCAUUGUGCUCGGCCGCAGCUUAUGCCUGCUUAAGAGCUAUAAAUCUAAACACCAAUAACUUCAUUAGAACACACAGAAGACUAUGAAAAUGUAUAUUGGCAUGUCUCCUCUUCAUCCAACAAUAUGUAUUUCAUGAAAUAUUUUUUUGCUUGUAAACGCAAUUAUAUAAUUCAGAAGGUUCCAGUGUUUGCCAUCAAUCUUACAGUUUAACCAUGGAAUUUCUGUUAAACUGAAAUAAGGUUCUAUGUUCUAAAACUUGAGCCAUUUCUUCUCUUUCUCUUUGCUUACUACAGCAUUUGAGGCAGCUUCUUGGGAUGCUAAUGUAUUUGCCAAUGCCUUUCGGACUUCUUUCAAUCUUCUCGUCGCAGCCUCUGAAACAACUUGAUCUUUCUUGUUUCUGUUCACCAUCUGUUCUAGUUUCAUCAUUUCUAACUUCAAGUCUUUGACUUCGUCUUGGUAUGCAACCAGAUCUUUCCUGUCUACUGGACCUUUGUUUUCCCUCUUUUUUACAGACUCUAUGCUGUUAACUUUCUCAUGGUGAGUAGGAAAAAUUUGUUCGUUGAUUAAGCUAAACAAAUCUGGCUUCGAUUCCUCUUCCUGUUUCGCUGCUUUAGCUGCUUCUGCAAACUUCUUCUCACGCUUCCUUUUGCCACCUCUGCUCUUUUUCUUCUUUUGUUUCUCGCUUUUACAUUCCCCAUUCCUAAUGUGCUCAAGAGCAUAAUCCAGUGACCGCUUUGCAGGAAGUACUUUUAAUAAGAUGGGAUUUAAUAUCCCUUGGCCAGAGACACCAAGACCCAUCCCUUCACGGUAACCCAUACUUGCCAUCAUCUUCGAAGCUAUUCCUCUAGUGUGAUUCUCCCACUUAGCAAAUAAGGCGGUGUCAGUUUGGACGCCUCUUGGUAGAUUUGUGCUUUCUAGAAAACCUAUGCCUUGUGGAGACUCUUCAUCAUAAUCACUUGAAACAGAAUCUUCAGUAUCUGAAGCACUCAGUUCUUCAUCCUCCUCGUCCUCCUCUUCCCCAUCAUCAUCAGUCAUCUGAGCGAACUCGGAUAAUGCCAAAGCAUCAGAUCCUAGCUUCGCGGAGCUUCUAUCAUCUCUGAAAACAACUCCGCCUACUUGUAACUCAUCAUCCCAUGAUUCAAGUUCAGCCUUUCUCCAUAUAUCAUAUUUACUGCCAGAAACUGCCCAAAUUUUGGAGCCUACCAUCGAUUGCUUCCACUUAGUCUGUUCAUAGUUCUUCAGAGAAGAUAUCGGCACAUCUAGUCCUGCAUCAAUGUCUUGCAGUUAACAACCAGAAUGACAAACCGGCUUCAUUUCCAACUUCUAAAGUUCUAAUGUGGCGAAGAUAUGAAUAUAUAAUACACAAACGAUAAUGAUAAAUAUGAUGAUCACAUACCAUGUGAUGAACGACAGGAACUGCCAUACCGACACCUCUGCUGCGUGAAAAACUUGCAAAUCUGCACAAGUGCGGUGCAGCGUUAGUAUCAAAGACACAAAACAGCAAUUGCAAAGAAAUGCCAGCAGUAACCGUCUCACAGUUACUCUUUCACAGCCAUUAUGCCUAUAGCAAAACCUAAUCCAGCUACAUAGACAAGCAAAACUGAGGCUUUCAAUAAACUCUAGCCACCCUAGCUAAUGACUAUGGAACUAAAGACUACAAAGAACUCACCAUCAUACUCUCGGAUGUGGGUGUAAGGAAAGAGAUCUUUGCAGAAUCAGAACCUUCAAAUCCGAUAAUACGACCAUUAUACCAACGACCAUCGGUAUGUCGAAACCUACAUUUCGAUCCAUCCAAAUCCUUUUUCUCUGGCUCCAAUUCAUCCAAAUCUUUAACUCCAGCAUCAUGAUUUAGACCAUUCAACACUAUAUCAGCUUCUUGCAAUAACCGAGCUCGUUUUAAGUGCAAAAGCCCUUCCUCCACCUCUUUGAUUGCAAAAAUAAGUUCUUCAUGGACCUUAAAAUACACAAAACCACCACAACAUGAGAUUAAGAACACAAAUUGCUGAUAAUGAACAUCAAGAUUUUCACCUCUAGCUACUUUAAGAAUAAGAUUAUCAACACAAAAGAUACAGAGCAAUCACAAAUAUUGUUGAAUCGUAGUUCUUCAGGAAAUUUGGGGAUCUGAUUUCAGAGAAGAAAAUUUACCGAGAGGAGUUCGGGAUUAGAAGGGUCAGAGAUUAGGGCUUCGUCAAUGGCGGAAAGAGAUUCUUUUUGUUCCUGUAGCUGAAUGUCAAGAAGAUCUUCCAGGGCUUUGUUUUCUUCGCUCGCCAUGGGAAGAUGAUUCUAGAGUCUCCCGCGGAGGAGGAGAAGACGAGAGAGGAAGAAGAAAAGAAAGAAAACUUCUUGGGUUCUGGGCCGACCCGGAAACUUAACCGGGUUUCAAUAUUUAUAAUUUUUCUUUUUAUCUUUUAAAAUCUUUUUUUCCAUUAUUUUUAUUUGUGGGCUUUUGGGUUUGGUUUGCAUCCGGUUAGGUUCAAUUUGAUUUGGUUUUGGUAAAUUUUUAGUUAUACUCUAUUUUUGUUUUUGUUCGAUUUAGUUCCGUUUGUUUCAGUUCAGUUUUCUAUGGAAUAUUUAGGGGGUGAUUGGCUAACACUUUCAAAACUUUUUUAAAAAUUAACAAUUUUUACCGUUUUAAUUUUUAAGAGAGUUCACCUCUUGUGCCACAAAACGAGAAAUGUUAACCACUCAUGCCACCGUUAUGUUUUAUUUUUGUUAUUGAAUUUCUUUUAAUUCUUAAAACUGAGUAAAUGACCAAACAACCAAACGAAAUUCUCUUAAUUACGACCCAACCUAAUAUUUGAUCCAAGUCCACGAGAAAACAACCCGGCCCAUAUCUUAUUUACCCUAAUUCUCUAAAAAUUGUCUAAGUCUCUGUGAAAAAAUUCAGAAAUCGUAAAAACAAAAUCGAACUCUCGAGAAAACGAAGAGUCCGACGCCAUUCUCAUCGGAAUUUUCUUGCUUCUCCGGCGUCUCGUCGUCUCCGCCGUCUUCGUAUUGCCUCGGAAGUUCGGCCGUCGUCUGCGUCUACUCCGUCAUUCGUCUCCUCCGUCUCCUCCGCGUUCGUUUGUCUUUUUGUCUCCUCCGCCUCCGUUCAGCGUGUCUUCGUCUCCUCCUUAUAUGGCUCGCGUGAGAAUGAAAGGUGGAGAUAGGGUAUAUGAAUCAACAGAAGGGUGUCGAGAAGGGGCUUCAAAUCCGGAUCCAAUAGAAGCUUCGGCGGAUGCCGCAGUUCCAAGAGAAGCUCCGACGGAUGCUGUUUCUCCAACAGAAGCUCCAAUGGAUGCCGAAUUAGAAGUUCCUUCGGUUCCGUAAUUAUUUGAUAAAGAAGAGAAAGAAGAAGCCAGUGAGUCAAAGGAAGAAGAAGUCUGUGAGCAUGAUAAAGAAGUUAGUGAGUCAAAGGAAGAAGAAGUCCGUGAGUCUGAUAAAGAAGAAGAAGUUAGUGAGUCAAAGGAAGAAGAAGUCCGUGAGUCUGAUAAAGAAGAAGAAGUUCGUGAGUUGUCAAUUGAUGGUCAGGGUUGUGAUGAUGAGGAAGAAGAGAGAGUUAGUGAUGCUGAGGGUAGAGAAAGCAGUGGCGAUAAAAAGGACGAAGAGGUUGCUGGUGUUAAGGUAAGUAAAAGUUUGUAUAUGUUGUAUAUGGUGUUUAAGGUAAGCAACAGACUUAGUUUUACUCAGUUGUAUGUGUUUGAAUAUGCAGGGCAUAGCUGAGGAAGAGGAGAGGGUUAAUGAUGUUGCAGCUGAUACAGAUGAGGAUGAUGAUGAUGAAGAAUCCCAACCACUGCCGCCAAAGAGCAUGUACUUUAGUCCAACUGAGUACAAUAAGGUAUGUAAGGUAGGAAGUAGGUGUAAAGUUGGCCAAACAGUGGCCAUGAUAGAGGCAUUUGAUGAGGAAGUUAGUUGGUUUAGGAAUCAUGCUCAGUUUAAGCAUAUAUUCCACAUGCCUAAGGAACCAAAUCACAUGAUUCAAGGCAUGUGGAUGCUUAUGCUUCGCACUGCUCGCACGGAUAUGGAGAAUGAGUGUUGGUUUGUUGUGAAUGGAGUGCCUAUAAGGUACUCCUUGAAAGAGCAUGCUUUGUUGACCGGGUUGGACUGCCAUGAGUACCCAAAGAAUUAUGAGAAGAAGGGUAGUUUGAGGUUUGUCAAAAGGAUAUUUGGGAGGACAGACAUAAUCAAAAUCAAAGAUGUAGAAAAGAAGUUGGCAGCUAUUAAGAGUGAGAAGUGUUUGGAUAGGAAGAAGCUGAUUAUUUUGUUGUUUUUAUGUGCGGUUGUGAAGGCUGAUUCUAAGGGUGAUGGGAACAUAGAGCAAUUCCUGUUAAGGAUUGUUGAUGAUGUUCAUGCUUGUGAGAUAUUCCCGUGGGGAAGGUAUUCUUUUGAGCAAUGUAUGACAGGGAUCCGGAGAAUGAUGAAAAACAUGAAAGGUGAGGUGAAAUCAAAAAGCACAGAGCAUCUUUUUUGGAUUCAUCACUCCUCUUGAGGUAAAAACUUGUUAAUAUUGUAAUGAGUUAGUGUUUAAGUUAUAGUAGUAAAACUGUGUUAUUGUGAAUUUGUAGAUUUUUGCAUUUGAGUGCAUACCACAGCUUGAAAGGCGAUUCAGAGAAGCUGUUCCCGCAGCUAAUGACUGUCCAAGAAUGUGCAAAUCUAAAUUCACUGACAGUUGCAUGAAGGGCUUUACCUUGGAUGAAAUAAACCAAGCCCUUGGUGAAAUUAAGGUUAGCUUUUGGUGCCUUUACUUCUCUUAGUAUGCAUAUGUAUUGAGUUUGAUGCUAUGUGUAUUUGACAGGAUAUCUCAAGCAUCUUGGAACCUGCUAUGGAUGAGAAAGAGAUGUUGUCUGGCCUUGUUGAGAAAUAUGUUGAUGAAGGGAUGGGAUUUAUUGAUCCAUAGUUGGAGAGAGCAGCUGAUCACAAAGAAGAAGAAAAUCUGGUGGAAAAGUCUAUACCAGAUGGACUUGCAGGCUCGGGGUUUUGGUGAUGUUGUCCCUGAAGUUGCUGGGAGGCUUGGUGAUGUUAAAGAAAGGGAUGGUGAAGUCCCGGAGACGCUUGGUGAUAUCCUCUCAUUACAGUCAGCUGUGGACAAAGGAUUUGCGAAGAUCAUGGAGAAGUUUGCUGAGAUGGACAGCAAAGUGAGUAUGCUGGAUGGGAGAGUGAAAGAAUUAGAGGGUUAUGUGGCAAUCCAGCUAGAGAAAGAGCGGUACAAUGAGUAUCAUCCAGGGACUUCAAGUGAUUUUGUGCCGACCUAUUGUACACCAACUGCUAAUCAACCAAUAGUGAGUCCGACAAAGGCUUUGGUCCUUCACAGUGGUUUCACAGACCCUAAUCCAAUCCAGAUUCAAGAAUUGAGUGAGUUUAUAUUUUUGUAGUUUUUAUUGAAACAUACAUGUUCUAACAUUUGAGUUGUGUAGGUGAUGAAAGUGAUCAGGAGCAGCUGGCUAGGAAAGAGAAGGAGAACAAGAAGAAGAAGAGACAGCGUGGCCCUACAAUCCAGACCGGGCAAAAGAGACAAAGGAAGCCUUCUAGGUUUAUGGCUGAAGAGUUUACAGCAGAGGGGAAGGGGAAGGGGAAGAAGAGGCAGAAGAAAUAGGUGAUCUUUAUGAUGGGUUGUUUUUGUGUAGGACAAAACUUAUCUUUUUGAGUAUUUUGCGGUUAUCUUUUAUUAGGAUUAAAAAGCAUUGUACUAUCUUUGGUUAUGUUGUGGUUUAGGUGCAUUUUAUGUAUUUGAGGUUUAGGAUGAAUCAUACAUUAUAUUUUUAAAAAUUAUGCAUCUGGUCCAACUACUAACAAACGUGGGACAACUAUUAACUCAAGUUGGACAACAGGGACAACUACUAGUAAUCCUGGGACAACUAUGUGAUAAACCAAGGACAACUAUUAUUAAAAUAAAUUUUAAAUUUUAGUUGGACCAGUUGAUCCAGGGACAACUACUAAUAAUCCAGGAACAACUAAAUUAUAAACCUGGGACAACUACUAUUAAAAUAAAUUGUAAAUAUUAGUUGGACCAGUUGAUCCAGAGACAACUACUAAUAAUCCAGGGACAACUAUAUUAUAAACCUGGGACAACUACUAUUAAAAAUACUUAGUAAAUACAUAUAAGUCGGAGUUGUACCGGUUGAACCAAGUACAACUAGCAUUACUGCAGGUACAACUACUAAUAAGACUUCAUGAAAACACAAAUCCAUAUCCAAAAUACAAAUUCAAAUAUUACAAAGACUAGGUGGUAAUCAUACAAUAUUACCAACUUGAAAGUAACCCCUUAAGCCUCGCAAUCUCGACUUCUUUUGUGGCUAACCUCGCUUUAAGGGCAUCAAUUUCUUCACGCAUAAGACGAAGAGUUUCCCGGAUCGACUCCAAAGCAGGUGGAAAUCCACCCCUCACAACCUCAAGAGAGGUUAAAACGUCAAAUCGUAGGUUUAUCUUGGACAGCUCCUCCGUAACCGCACAAUCCCACCACUGAACUAGGUGAUCUCGAUUAACCUUAUAUUCGUCUCCAUCCUAGGAAGAAUAUAGAAAUUUCAAAACCAACAAGUUGUACUUAGUUGUUCCAAAAUUGCAACUAAACCAUACCGUAAGCAAUGGGCAUCUGUAUACGCGCUCUCCUUGUUGCUGUCAUGUUAUACACCGCUCAAGCUUGACCAUUAAACCGCAGAAACACCUCUUGAGAACACCAUAAUUGGCGUCCGCAUUUCGGCAUCCACUGUUGAUACUUUCUACGGAUGUGGAGGGUUGGGAGUAACUAUAAGGCAUAUCUACGGUUUAGAAAAUGAAGCUCGGUAAGUAGAUCUGACCAUUCAAUCAAACAUAAAUCAAUUAAAUCUUACAAUUUUUUGGGUAGAUCUGAAAAUCUUACAAAUCUCAUAUACCCUAAUUACCAUAAUUACAGAUCUACUAAAUUGAAGUAGUCUAAGAGAAUUGUCAUACCUUAUAACGGCGAGAGAAUGAAGAAAAAUAAUAGAUCUGAAAACCCUAAUUUUUUUGGGUUUCUCGUGAAGAAGAGAGAAGAAGAAGAAGAGAGAAAAGAAGAAGCAGAGAUAAAGAAGAAUCGAGAUGUGAGAGAGAGAGACUAGUCAAAGUAGGUGGGAUCUGAAAUAAAUCAGAUUCGAAUUAAAGUAGGUGGGCCCGGUUUGAGUCAAAAACUAGUGUGAACACAUUUAUGUGGGACCCCCGACAAAUAGAUUUUCUACAUAGUUGUCUUUAGAUGUUCAGUUGUCAUAAUUUCCUCACAGUUGAACUAUUUCAAAUUUUGCAAUUUUAUAGUUGAACCUUAAAAAAUACCAUAGUUACCUAGUUGUUCACAUCAAUUUCCACAUUAUAUUGGUGUUUAAGAAGUUUUCAUAGAAUAAAUUGUCAGAAAACAUAGUUUCCAUACUUAUUCCAUCUUUGUAGAUGAUCUUGAACUAAUUGUUGCUUGUUAACUAAAGAGUGAUUUGUGUAAUUUUGGUUUUUGCUGACAUUAAUUAUUGAUAAUGUUACAUAUCAUAUAUUAAAAAUAUUAAAUUUUCUUUUCAGAGUGUAAAAAUGUUUUAAACUACUUAUUAUUGUUUAAUUUAUGUAAUUUUGUAUUUUUAUAUUUUUAGUUGUUUCCAGUUGUAUCGGUUGAACCCAGAAACCAUUUUUACUAAUAUUGCUAAGAAAUAAAAUAGUUUCUAUUACAAACUAGUCUUACAAAUAAUAAUCCAUAUAUUACAAAGCGAUAUUAGUCUUACAAAUAAAAAUACAAGUACAAAGUUGUUUAAGUUGUUCCGGUUGAACCCAAAUGGUUACACAGUUGUUCCGGUUGAACCCAAAUGGUCCAGUUGUUCCAGUUGAACCUAAGUGGUAAAAUAGUUGUACCGGCUGUACCAGGGAAUUAAUCAAGUUGCUUCUGGAUCCUCGGGCUGCAUCCAUCUCUCCAAGUUAAUUCCUGGAACAGCUUUGUUACUCUUUCUCCGUUUUUCUCCAACGGAUGGAAACCGUUUAUCUUGAUUUCGUCCUUUUGUUGGGGUGUAUUCCGGCGGGUCACCCUCCAAAUCUUUAAUUGGCUCGGGAAUAAUCCAUUCUGACUCAUGUGGCACUACAAACAACGUCCUGUAAUAUGCCAAUGCCCAAGUAUCUAUCAAAUAAAAGACGGAGCAGAGUCCAUAUAUGCUUACAUCUGCAGUUCUCCCUUCCUUGCGGCCUAGGAACCUUGCUGCGGCAAUGGCAUGGACACACGGGUACUUGUCUAUAUCAAAAGUCUUGCAAGAACAAGUUUUCAUUUUCAAAUCCACCAAAAAGCUUACCGAAUGGAGAUCAAUGACGUUGUAUUUUUGUCUAUAACUGUUAAGCUCAACAACUUUUAACGUGCAGCAACUGGACAUCGAGCAUGCAAGAUGUUCUCCACAAAAGGCACAACUUGUGAUGUGCUCGAUGCAUUACCUGAAUCUUGCCUAUGUUUGUUAAACCAUUCAGAGAACUUCUCAACAAGGGCAUCAAUCAUAGGUAAGAGGUCAUACAUCCUCGCUUUCCUAAACACAGCAUUCAUUGACUCCGCAGCAUUGCUAGUAUCGAUGUUGUACUUGUCUCCUUGGAAAUGGCACCUGGACCACUGCUCUCUCUCUAUAGUUUUAUCUAGAUAGUCAGCAGCAUUAGACCACCGACUCCUAAAAAUACCAUAUUCUCUAUUGAACUCACUCUCAGUAUAAGCAUGAGCGCAAUCCAUGAACUUAGCCGCAGCUCCCUCCUUAUCAAUCUUCGCACGGAGUCUCAGAUUUUGAGACAAAUGCCAUAUACAGUGUACAUGAUGCGCAUUCGGGUACACCGUCAUGACAGCCUUCUUGAUGCUUUGAUGCCUGUCACUAAUAAACACCAAAUCAGGAACUUCUGGAUAUACAGUUUUCAGCUUCUGGAAAAACCAUAUCCAACUAACAUCCUUCUCCGCAUCAAUCACACCAAAUGCAAGAGAGGGUAAUGGUGAUGAUUAGGAUCAUGAGCUGUUGCAAUAACCAACAUCCCACCAUAUACAGUUUUGAGAUGAGUUGCAUCUACAAUUAUCACUUUCCGCAUUGCCCUGAAGCCUUCAAUGCUAGCGCCCAAAGCUAUGAAUAGGUACUCUAACUUCUUCUCUUCCAACUCCACACUUGUUACAGUCCCUCUAUUUACCUUCUCUAACAUGUAAAGAUAAGAAAACAACAUCUUGUAGCUUUUUUCCGGUCCACCUCUCACUUCACUAACAUGCUGCAUUUUCCCUCUUAAUGCAGUGGAGUAUGAACAAUGCACACCAAGUCUUCCUGUCACAAUAGACAUGAUGCUUUUUGGAUUUGGGGUCUGUAGAUUACCUGGAAAGUCAGCAUGCAAAACAGCUGCUAUUAAUCGUGGUGUUCCCCUCUGUACACUAUUGCUUGUAGACUCAACAGACCGAGAGCAUGUAUGGAUCUUUCUAUGCACUCUAACACUCCAAUAAUCUGAUUGCUUUGUUCUCGCAACUCGUAAAUACCAUUUACACCCUUCAGAAUAUUGUUUGCAUCGUAACAUAAGUCUCACCGGGUCAGACUUAACAGUUAAAACCCCAUAAACUUCUUGUUUUGCAGCUUUGUUUACCAAUUCCCACACUACCUCCUUAGAACAAAAUUCUUGAUAAAGUUAUAUACCCGUACCAUCUUCCCAUUCUAUAUUCUUCGGAGUACCUUUUACACGAUUUGGAAUAGCUGGAAUAUCAUCAAAAUCACACAUACCAUCCACAUCUUCAUCCAAAUGGUUAUCCAUCGACCUUUCCACAGCCACAACUUCCAUACCUGUCACAUUCUGACACACUUCAUUCACCAAAACUUCAUUCACUUCUUUCCCUAAAACUUCAUUCACAUCAUUCUCCAAAACCUCACUCACAUCAUCUCUUACAGUUGCACUUAUUCCUUCAUCACCUCUCACAUUUGGAACUAGCUCUACAUAAUUCACACCAACUGAACUUCGACGCUCCAGUACUAAGAUUUCCACCCUCUGGUUAUUAUCACUUAAUACCUCCACAUGCAAAACUGGAAUACGACCCUCUUCAUCACAUUCUGUUAAAAAAAUGUAUACGACCUCAUCAUCUAUAAUAUAUGUCUCUCUCCGAGCUUUAGAUAGAUUGUAACUCAGUUUCAGAUUCCCGGGGACUCCAUUCUGGCCAACCUUCGUAGUGAUCUUAUCUAAUAGAACCGAAUAAGUUAUCUUCUCUAAACAUGCCGUCUUAAACGAUAUAGCGUAUAGUGAAUUUUUAUAAAUCCACUCAUUCCCUUCUGAAUAGUACCCUCCAUAGUCAAAAUGUACGUUAGUCUGGCUCUUUUUCUUCAUCGCCUCCUGAAAUUACAACAAUUUUAAACAUAAUUACCAACACAAUUUGUCACAAUUAUACUAGUUGUACCAGUUGGCUUACAGUCUAUCAUUUGUACCAGUUGGCCUACACCCUAACAGUUGUACCAGUUGACUAUGGAGGGUACUAUCCUGAAAAUACAACAUUUAAAAACAUCACAAAUCUACGCCAUUUUUCAAAUUUAUACUAGUUGUACCGGUUGGCCUACAUACUAUCAGUUGUACCAGUUGGCCUACAUACUAUCAGUUGUACCAGUUGGCCUACAUACUAUCAGUUAUACCAGUUGGCCUACAUUCUAUCAGUUGUACCAGUUGACUAUGGAGGGUACUAUCCUGAAAAUACAACAAUUAAAAAUAGCACAUACACCAUUUAUCACAGUUAUACUAGUUGUACCAGUUGGCCUACAUACUAUCAGUUGUACCAGUUGGCCUAUAGACUAUCAGUUGUACCAGUUGGCCUAUAGUCUAUCAGUUGUACAAGUUUAAUAAUUAAACUUAGUUGUACCAGUUGUCAUAGCUGUCCCAGUUGACUGAGAUCUGACUCGUAACUACAUAAAAUAUGACUCGAUUCAACAAUGGACGAGCUACAUUCGUUUAAUAACCAUUGCAAAUACCUCCAUUCGCCAAUAUACAUUCGAUUAGCCCAAAUAAAACCCAAUUUUCAUUUCAAAUCCCUAAUUUAAAAAAAUUUCAGAUUACUCAUAAAUUACCUAAAAUCCAAACAAUGCAGCAAUGUCAAGAGAAUACAUGAGAAGAAACUAACCGAUUUUGAGAAGGAGGAGGCGCCUGUUGAGCCGUAGUUGCAGAUCGACGGGAGCGGCGGAGGAGGAGAGAAAAAGAGCGUCGGGGUCGGGGAGAGAGAGGGAGAGGAGAGAGACAAAAACGAUUUUGUUUUUUUUUUUUUUAAUUUCUUCUUCUUUCUUCAUUAAGGGUAAUUUCGGCAUUUCACAUUUUCAAUGGCAUGUAGAUUUUUUAGUGGCAUGCCAGAUCUUUUUUUUCUGAAAAGUGGCCUGGAUCCAAGACAAUAUAGAUCAUAGAUUCAAGCUCUUUGAGUUUUAUUAAGGUGGAUUAGGCAAAGAAAAAAAAGAUAGAUAAAUAAUAAUAAGCUACUAACUCAUCGAAUCAAGAAAAAAUAAAAAAUAAAAAGUAAAAAAAAAACACCAAAUUUAAAUAAUUCUUGGAUCAAUUAUAUAUAUAGGAGAGAAUUGCUUAAAGUGACAAUUAUCUAAGUUAUAGAUAUUAGUGUCCAUUACAUUACUUUUUUUGGGCAAAAAAUAAAUUCAAGUAAAUUAAUAUCCAUAACUAAAACAAACCGAAUAGAACAAACCAAACCAAAUUGAACCAUUCCAAUAGAAAAAAAAUCUUAACCAAAUGAGUUUACAUGCAUAGACUAUGGUUUGGUUCUGGUUGGUUUGAGUUAGGGGUUUGGACGUUUGGUUUAGUUUUUUUUCAGUUCGGUGAAGUACAAUUGUACCAUCAUAUGUAUUAAGCUUUUUUUGGUAUGUACAGUAAGCUCCUUCCCAAAUUAUCAUGUUGAUGAUGUUGUAAUAUUACCUCAACAAAGGUUGUUUGACCAAAUUGCAUCUCUAGAGUCCCUUACGUGAUAAGCAAUGCCUUCUACCCUCUCACUAAGAUUUUGUUAAUUAGUAUCCAAACAUUCAAAUCUCAUUGUCGUGUUUAAUGUGGUUUUUGAAUGUCCGACCAGUAAUUGUUGGAUCGUUUGGCCCAUUUCCUCAGAGGUUUGUUCUCUCGAUCAUGUGGCAAAGACGAUAAGGUUGGUUGGGGUUGAGAUUUGUAGUUCUCUUGAGCCCUCGGUGGAAAACCUAGCUUAUUAGAUCGUUCUUGGUUGUAAGGGUUUUGUUUUGGUAGGCUUGAUAUUGAGGCUUUUGUGUGGUAGACUUGAAAAGCCUAGGCUUGUAAGGUCCAAUUACAUUAUUUUUAUUUUUUUGGGUGGGAGAUCCAGUUACAUUAUUGUGUAUACAUAUGUGAUAUGUUUAUGAAAACGAAAAAACAAGAAAAAUAUAUUAAUUACUUGAAACAAUAUAUUCAUUUGCAUAAUACUUUAACAUAUGUAUACGUUUUGAUUUGCAACCAUUUUUGUAACAUAAAAAAAAUCACUUAUUAGGACAAUCGUCCAUUUAUAUAUACACAAGACAAAUAUAAAGUAAGGAAAUUAUUGCAUUAUCAAAUUAAAAUUUCUAUAACUUACACAAAUCUUGGUAUUUUAAAUAUCUAUCCACAAAAUUAAAGGCAAAACCAGUAAUUACAGAUGGUUGUUACAAAUACAAAAACAAAUUACCAACUUUGCAAGUUGAUCUCAUAAUAAUACCAGUCAUUAGGACAACCUUUUUUGUAACAUAAAGAUUAACUCAUUAGGACAAUCAUUCAUUUAUACAUAAGACAAUUAUAAAAAGUAAAGAAAAAAAUCAUUGCAUUACCAAAUUAAGAUUUCUAUAACUUACACAAAUCUUGGUAUUUUAUUAUCUAUCCACAAAAUUAAAGACAAAACCACUAAUUACAAAGGGAUGUUACAAAAAUAAAAAUAAAUUACCAACAUUGCAACUGGAUCUCAUAAUAAUGCCACACUAGGUUCCAACAUGUAUAUAUAAACAACCUUCCUCUCCACCAAAUAUUCCAACAAAGAAAAGCAACUAAGAACCCGCCAUAACAAAACUAUGAUGUCGAAGAAGAAAGAAAGCAUCGGACGACAAAAAAUUCCAAUGGUGAAAAUAAAGAAAGAGAGCCACCGGCAAGUCACAUUCUCGAAACGCAGAGCCGGUCUCUUCAAGAAAGCUAGUGAGCUCUGCACGUUGUGUGGUGCAGAGAUUGGGAUCAUCGUGUUUUCUCCUGCAAAAAAGCCUUUCUCAUUCGGACAUCCGAGUGUCGAAUCUGUAUUGGAUCGUUACAUGUCUCGAAACAAUAUGUCCUUAGUUCAGACGCAGCAACCGCAAGGAAGCCCUGCAGCGAGCUGCGAGCUGAAUAUGCAGUUAACGCAUAUUUUGAGCGAGGUAGAGGAAGAGAAGAAGAAAGGUCAAGCUAUGGAAGAAAUGAGAAAAGAGAGUGUGAGGCGGUCGAUGAUCAAUUGGUGGGAAAAGCCAGUAGAGGAGAUGAAUUUGGUUCAGUUACAAGAAAUGAAAUAUGCAUUGGAGGAGUUGAGGAAGACGGUUGUGACAAAUAUGGCAUCGUUUAAUGAGGCGAAAGACGAUGUGUUUGGUUUCUUGGACAACAAAGUGACGGCUCCUCCUUACAUGAACAUGUCUUCUGGUCUCUCAAGUAUUUAUUAUGCCAACGGAAAUGGUUGUUUCUGAUUCACAAAUGCUUUUGGUUUUUGUGAUUUUUUUUUUUGGUAGCAAUAGAAAGAAAAAUGAAUCAAAUAACUUGUAGGCUAGUAUCUUGCUAGCUGUAUUUUCUUUCUUCAAAUUAUUUUUGUUUCUUUAGCACCAUAGAGAUAAUACGAUAAAUGGAUUCAUGUCAACUUGUCAAGGAUCAAAUCUUUAUUAAUGUUUAUCAGGUUGAACUACUUGAAUGGUAGAUUAUAUGUUAAAUGGAUAUAUACCUUUAAAUUAUGAUUUUAAAAACUGAUAGCUUAGAGUUUCAUCGCUUGUUAGAGGUUUUUUUUUUCAUGUCUUAUGAGAUUAAUGAAAAAAGAUAACAAAUCAGGUAAUACAACCAAAAACAGAGCAUAAUCACUCCAAACCUCCUCAAUGCGGUUAUGAAGCCAGGCUUGACCUCCCAUUGCUAGGUAUGAGUUGAAACGCCCAUCUCUCGUAACACUUUGAGCAAUAUUUCUAGCCAAUGAAUUCGCUUUUGGCGUGGAGACAAAGGAUUUAUACUGCCAUGGAUUGCAGUCAAACAAUAACUCAAUAAGUCCCAAGUUGUCAAUAUGUAGAUCUCGAAGACUUUGGCUGGUCCAUAGAAAAUACUAAAGCUCAGCUGCAAUGCGGUUGAUAGUAGGAAAAAGAGCAUCCUGGUUUACGGCCAUGAAAAGAAGCUGCACGAGUGUAGUCCCGAACAAUCCAUGCUCCACCACAAAUGAAGGCUUGCUAAUCCAUGAAGCGUGGACAUUGCAUUUCAUCACACCCAUUCGGCGUUUUCGGCAUAUUUUGGACAAAAACUUUGGUUCGGUUUGUUUUUGUAAUUGGAUGCUACAUUACAAAAAUACAUAGAUAUACUACUUGAAUAUCUACCUAAAUACUUUCCAAACCGUUGGUAUAUAUGUUGGAACUCAAUUUUCGACCCUGACCGGUUGUAAAAAAUUGGUUGAAUCUACAGUCUCUCAAAUAUACUUUUGACUAAAUUUGUUUUCAGAUUACCAAAAAUCUUCAGAUCUUCGAUGUUGAAUUUUGAAGGAAUGGAGAUCAUAAAAUAAAAUCUUCAGAUCUUUGAUGUUUGACCCAAGUUCAGUUACAUAAAAGAAAAAAAUGUAUAUAGAUAUAUAAUAGUUUCAGUGAGUUCAUAGUACUGUAAGAAAUUUUUAGUCAUUGUAUCCAGCUAUGUUGAAAUUUUUACUCCUCACUCAGUAAUUUUAAAAGAGAAGAAAUAAGAUAAUAAUGAAAACCAGUAUCAUUUUAUAUUUCACACAUCUUUAUUUCAUUAUACAAUGCUGUUUUCUCUUGAUUGUGUUCCUGAUAAUUAUGGAAGGACACAGAAACUCUAAUGUGGACUUGUGGCAAAAGACAACUUCAAUCAUACGACAGAGACGACUAUUUGGUUAAUGGCAUGACCAUUGAGUGUGAUUGCUUCCUUGGAGAUGGCAUGACGAUCAUAGAAACCUUUUAGUCUGUCAAAUAUUUCUUCUACUACUGAUUCGUCGGUUCCGAUCGAUAUCCUCACCCAAUUCUCUGUCCCUAGAGCCACUCCUACGAAAUUCCAACAAAAAAAUAAUUAUAAAUAGAAAAAACCAGAAAAAUUGAUCAUAAUUAACGAUUAAAAUCUAUAAAUCAAAAUCAUAUAUUUAAGAAGAUGAUUAUAGGAGCCCCAAAUUCUUAAGAUAUAUGAUGUUAAAGAGAUCGUUACCUGGUAUAAGGAUAAGACUCUCCUCACUAACUAGCUUCGUGCAGAAAUCAAAAUCAUUUUUGAUAUUGUCCAACAUUGAUGUGUCAAGCUUCAACUGUAAAAUAAAUCGUUUAAGCUAAUUAAUCAGUUAUAUGUAUAUCGAUAAGAAAUAUGUUAUUGUCAUAAAAAAUAUAUGGAGAAUCCAAUAACAAAAAAAAAUUAGAAGCCAAGAAAAAGAAAGUACCCAUAAAUAAGAACAAGAUUCGGGUUUCUUGGGACAAAAGAGACAAGGAAUGUCCUUGAGCCUCUCACAUGAAAGCUCGACGUUGCGCCUCAUGGCUUUGAUCUUCUUGUCGAAGAACUCUUUAGGUGUUUUCUCCAAUUAUAUCAGGAAGUGCUUCCUACAAAAACCCAUAUGUGGCUAGUGCCUAGAGAUUGAUGGAGAAGACGUCUUGGGCUGCUAUUACAAUCUACCUAAUCAACAGGUCUCCUAAUGCAUCACUAAAUUUCAGGAUUCCAUAACUUUUUUUUUUUGUCAUGAUAAAAGAUGGAUUAAAGUUAUUUCAGAUGGUUUCGGUGUAUUGCAUACAUACACAUUCAACAUGACAAGAUUAGUCCUAGAUCUGUUUCAGAAAUAUGAUGGUCCAUGCGGAGAGGUUUAAACGAAUUGAUUUGGUCACCUAUCUCACCAAAAUGCACUUAUACUUUCAGUCAAACGUCCAAAGAGAACUCCACAGUUAAGUGUGCUUGAGUUGAGAAAAUUUCAGGAUGGGUGACCUUCCGGAAAGUGAUUGUGAGAAAUGUGUGAGUUAGGACAAAACAAAACAAAAUAUCAUGUGGUGAUUUGUAGGAUUGAUAAACAUGUCUUUAAAACCUCUCGGACGUAGCGAACCGGUCAUCGGACAAGAAUUGAAUCCACUGACCCGAAAGCGGACGUAGGUGCUCACUGGUUGGGGCGGUCGUGGGUUACAAACAUCAACAUAGUCUUUGAUUAGAAAAACUAUACAAUGAAAUUUUUUAUAUGUUAAAUGGAUUAAUGUUGGUAUUGAACUAUUUUCAAUGGUAGAUUAUAUGUAAAAUGGAAAUAAUAAGAUUUUAAAAAUUAAUAGAUUAUAUUUUCACUGCAUGUUAUAGGUUUAUGGUGUGUUUCGACAUUUUUUGGAUAAAAUCUUUGGUCCGGUUCAUUUUUUUUAUUGGGUGCUAGAUUACAAAAAUAUAAACCACUUGAAUAACUACCUAAAUAUUUUCCAAACCAUUGAAGCCUUGGAACUCAAUCUUCAAGGCCACACCGGUUGUAAAACUUUAUCCUAAAUUUUCUGUUUACUUAUCAAAGUUCUUUGUCUAAACCUUCUACUCAUGUCAUGUUAGAGCGUUUCAAGAGUUUCGAAAAGAAUAGGAUUUUAAUUUCUAAACUUGUUAAUUCUCGAGUUUUUUUAGGUGUAUCGAUCUCAACCGUUAGUCAAUUUAGUGAGUUGAAUCACGCUAUUGACAAGAAAAAAUUGAGAACUAGUCUAAAUUAUGUAAGAAAUUUAAAAGAUAUGAUUUUAAAUACCAAUUUAAUGUUAGAAAUACGACGAAUGAACAACUUUUUUUCGUGUUGAAACGGCAAUCUCUCAAAUAAACUUUUAGCUAAUUUUGUUUUCAGAUUACCAAAAAAUUCAUAUCUUUAAUGUAUAAUUUGUUAGGAAAGAAGAUCAUAACAUUUU